UGGCGUAGAUACAGAAAAAAGAAGGCAGAGAGGCUGUUACGUGAAGCAGAAGAAAGGAUUCAAAAUUUGGAGAAUGAGGAAGGGUCCGCACCAAGCUUUGCAGCCAUUUUACAUGCAUCAAGGUUUGCAUCAACUGCAUUGCGCCACCUGCGAAGUGGUAAACGUACCAGAGUGCCACAGCCACAGAAAUUGCUACCCCUGAUGCCUCCGAAGCCUUCUGAGCCAGAUUUCACUGCUCUGAAAAACUAGUUUCUUAAGAAAAUUUACAGCAAAACUUGUUGUGAUUUCACUUUUGUGCAUAUUCAACAUGCAUGUCCUUAGCAAUUUUGUGAGCAUAUAUGUUAGUAGCAAGUGGUGUUAAGGAUUUCCUAUAUGACAACAUUCUGUGAAUAAUCUUAUUCUAAUUAGUUUACAUAUUCUAGUAUUUUCUUUGAUAAACUACUUGUGUUUUGUCUCCAUUCAUGAUAGUAGUACAUUCACAUCUUAAGAUGAUUAUAUAUUAUAUGUUUUAGAAGUGCAUUAUGGUUGUUUUCAGAAAUGAUUAUGUUAUAUGUUUUGUUAUGUUGACAUCUUGGUUAAAAUCAUGUUAAAUGUGUUUUUUUUAAAUUUUUUUUAUUAUAGUAUACUUUCCAUUACCUUUAUAGGUCUAAUUUAACAAUAAUAAAUUAAUUUGAACUAAAAUGAGUAUUAUUUUUUAAAUUUAAAUUAAGUACUAUUCUGAAUAAAUGAAUUUGAAUAUUUAAUGGUCAAACUAGUUGCUAAGAAAUUUUUUUAUAUUUUACAUCUUUCUUCUCUAAGUAAUAAAUUUAUUAUUUAUUUCAAUUCUAAAAUGAACACUACAAUAAAUUCAUUAAAUAAUAAUUAAAAUUAGAGACAAAAAUAAUUAGUCACUAUAUUAACUAAAUUAGAUACUAUUUUGCAUAGUGAUAUCUAACAUGAAAACUUUUAUCUAAAAAAAUAAAUUAGAUACUAUUUAGACACUAUUUUAUUUAAAGUAAUUUUAUUAAUAAAGUAAUUUUUAAAUUGCUAUCUAACCAUUAGCUACCAAUUUUAAAAAUAAUUUAUAAAUUUUUAUUAAUUAUAAAAAUUAUUUUAAAUAUUAAUAAUUUUUUUAGUAUUAAAAUAGUCUCUAAUUUAAUUCAAUAAUAACUAAUUAUUUUAGUAUUUAAAAUUAGUUACAAAUUAAUAAUAAUUUUCUUGUACUAAAAAUACGAAAUAUUUAAUCAUAUUUAUAUAAGUAAAUGAUGACAUUUCCUUAAAACUAUGAUGCAAGUUAAUAAAGACACGUUAUCUUAUACAAUUCCGUCAUUUAUGUUUACUAAUUAGUUAAGACAUGCAUGCAUUUUAUUUUAAAAAUUCUUAUCCAAGUCUAAAUAUUAAACCAAAUCCACAUUUUGUAAAAAAAAUAAUUUGGAUUUUAUAGAUUUAAAUCUAAAGAAUUGAAUUGUAUUACUCUAUUUUAAAUCCGUAUUUUUUUAAAAAUGUUUAAAUGUUUAUAUAGUUUGGUAUAUCCAAGUUUAAAAUUAUUCUCAACUUCAGUUUUUAUUAAAAAGUUUGUUGCCCUAGGUAAAUUAAAUUAUCAUAAUCUCCCUUUGCAUCUUUAGUAAUUAAAUUUGAGUAUAAAAAUUGGUAAAUUUUCUAUAAAUUUAAGAUUAUAACCAUUUCAAUAUAGUGUACUUUGCAUAUAUAUAAAUACUUAUUAAGAUUUUAAGUAUAUGCACAUAAAUUUAUCAUUAUAUUUACAGUGACAAUUUUGAUUAUCUUCAUCUAAAUCGCAUACAUUCUUUUCUUAGCUAUGUACUUUGUUCACCUUAAAACAACUAUUUUUUUUUUAAAUAUCAUUGUAACUAUAAAGAAUAGACAAGUAAGGAUGUUGGUCUAUAGUUAUUGCAAUGUUACAUAUUAUAUAUAUGUGACAUUAUCCUUAUAUAUGAGAAUUAAACUAAUUUAUACACACAUUAAAUUAAAUAAAAAUUAAUUUUAAAAAUUAAAAUAAUUAGUUAUUAUUUGACUAAAUUAAAAAAUAUUUUAUAGAUUAAAAAAGUUAUUCGUAUAAUGCAUAAAUUAUUUUAUAAAUUUUUAUUAAUAAUAGAAAUCAAUUUAGAUACCAAUAAUUUUUUAGUCUCUAAACAUCUAAUUUAGUCAAUACAGUAACUAAUUAUUUUUGCUCUCUAAAUUUGAUGUUAUUUAAUGAUUUUCUUUAUGGUGUGUAUGGAUUAAGAGGAGAAGAUUUGAGAAAAUAGACUUUGAGUGCUUUGAGAGGAAAAUAAGGUUGUUUGAAUUAAGGUAUGUAUAAUGGAUUUAUGAGAAAAAUUUAUUGGAGUUUGCGAGUGAUAUGAUGGUUUUAAAAAGUUUAUAACUUUACUCUUAUCUUUAAAAAAAAUAUUUGAAUAAUAAAAUAUGAGGUAUUUCUUGUUUAAAUUUGAAUUAAUUAAAAUUUUAUACAUUAUUUUCAAUACGAUUGAAUAAUUAUUUUUGAAAAAAAUAUGAACUACUUAUUAUUGUUGGAAAUUAAAAAAUUUCAUUAUAAAUUAAAAUAUAAUUAAAAAUUAUAAAAAAUUGUUUAAAAAUAAUUUUAUAUAAUAAAUAUAAUUAAUUAUUUUUUAAUUAAUAAAUAUAUUAAUUAAAAAAAAUACAUAUUUAUAUAAAAUCUAUUUAAAAAUAUUAUUAAUCAAAUAUUUCAUUUAAAAAAAGUAUAAAUUAUCUAAUUAUAAAAAAUACAUUUUAAUAAAAAUAAAUAAUAUUCAAAUAUUUAAAAUUAUUUCUAUAUUAAAUAAUAUUAUUAUUUUUAUAUAGUUAAUACUAUUAUUAUAUAAAUUAUCUUUUAUUAUAAAUAAUUAUAUUUAUUAUUAUUAUUAUUUUACCAUUGUAAUUAUUAUUAAUAUUAUUAAAUAUUUUUAUAACAUAAAUUUAUUUAGUAUUUUAUUUUUUAAAUAUUAUAGUUUUGAUUUAUUUACAUGGAUUCUUUCAAAAGUUUAAGAUAAUUUGAUUAAUUAGGAUAAAGAAAUUUUUGGACACAUAGGAAGAUAAAGAAAACCUAUGCAUUUGGGCACUCACAAACAAGCAAAAUGUACAUAAUUUCUUUUUAAUCUCCCAUAAUCAUGUGCCCAAUCAAAAACUGAAAAUGUUGUCGCUUCCUUCCCAUUAUCCCUUUCCACUAUCACCAAGGGGAACAAGAUCAAGAAAAAAGCAUAUUGACACCAAAUCUUUAACUCCAAUGAUUACUUUAGUAUCAGCCUCCAAUUCUUGAAGAAGUUCUAUUUUUCACUAAGUUAUUUAAGAUAAUCUUGAACCUUAGUUUUUCUAAUAAAAUAUUAUUUAUAAUAAAAUAAUGUUUUUUUUUUCUAGUUUCUUUGGUGCACCCUAGUAGUUUUGUCUUUCAAAAAUGUUUUUUUGACAUUUAUAAAAAAUAACAUUCAUUUAACAAUUCAUCUUAAAAUAUAAUAAUGUAUAUUAGAAUUUUAAAUUAAAAAAAAAACAAAUAUUAUUAAAAUAUUAUUAUUUAAGAGUGUAAAGUGAGUGAGUGCUUUUUAUUUUGAGGGUGUUAAAAUAAUCACAAAAAUAAAAUAAAAGAUGACAAAAGUUGUUCCUUAAUGGCAAAAAAUUACUCAGAAAGUCAAAUAAGAUCUUAUCAUGUUUCUAAAAAAUUUUAAAAUUGACACCAAUACAAAAUUUUAGUGAGAAAAAUGAAAAGGAUAACUUAACUUAACAAAGGGAUUAGAGGUUUUUUUUUAUCACUAGUGUGCAUAGAAUUACACAAAAUACUCUUAUUUUAUUUGUGUAUUUUUUAUCAGAUCAAUUUUUAUAAUUCAACUAUAAUUCUAUUUAAUUUAUCCUUGCCAAUAAAAAUAAAAUAAAUCAAUAAUUUAUUAUAACCCAGUUGGUUAAAAAAUGAUUGUCACUAGUUUAUAGUAAAAUAAACAAAUCAGAAAAUGAAAUAAAAACAAUAUUCAACUAAAGAAAAUAUAAAUAUCAUAAAGUUUUAUUUAUAUAUAAAACUCACCACUUAUUAAUUGUGAUAUGUUGUUAUUAAUUGUGAUAUGUUGUAAAUAAAUAUGAACCUUCUCGAAUCAUUUUCUUAAGAGAUCAUGAGAGUCAAUGUCAUGAAAAAUAUUCUUCUUUGAGUGGUGUUGACAUGGGAUGCAAUAGUAUGCAAUAAUACAGAUGUACUUGAGAAACAAAUAAAUUAAUAUUUUAAUCAUAUUAUUAUAUUAUUUUAAUAUUAUAAUGGUUUGUGAAUUGUAUGAAUUUUACUUUUUUGGUGUGAACAAAAUUUUCCUUUUCUUUCUUUCUUUUUUCUUUUUUCUUUUUUCUCUUUUCUCUUUCACUUGACACUGCUUAUUAAGGAAGUAAGGCUAUGUCUUGAAAACAUUCAUCCACACAGUCUGUCAACUCACACAUUGACACUAUAAAUUAGGGCACUUCCUGCAAAGCUUAAACAUAUUACCAUCCUUAAAGAAACAUUUGAGAAGUGUAGAAAUGAGUGGGAGAGACAACAAGAGGGUUUGUUCUUGUUCUUGUUCAUGUUCAUGUUCAGAGAAGAAGAACAAAAGGGUGAUGAAGCAUGGGAAAAAGCCUCUUCCUGAUCUCAAUUACCCUCCUCCUCCUGAUGAACACCAUCAACAUUCAUCAUCAUCUUCUUCUCCCCCUCCUCCUCCCAAUUACGAUAAGGUUCCACACUUCUCUCGAUAAAUGCCAUGUUUUCAUCUUACUUAGAUUCCACUCAUUACUUAAUUAUAUCAGCUUCAGCUUCUGGGAGCUGCUCGUCAACACAGUCAUGCUGCUGCUGCUUCUUCUGGGAAGCCUAAGAUGGGAGAGAGUGAGAGUGAGAGUAGCUCUCACUGGAACAAGGAGAAGAAGAAGAAGGAUGAGCCAGCACAAUAACUCUGAGCCUGUCUCUAAAACUCUUUCAUUAUACAUAUGUUGUUUCAGUGAUUUGUGUUGUUGGUGUUGUGUGAUGUUGCAGUAGGCUAAGUUCUGUGUGUUAUAAUAAAUUACUGGAGCAAGGUUGAGAAAGUAUUAUUUUUCUUUGUGUGAUGUUGCAGUAGGCUAAGUUCUGUGUUGUAAUAAAUUACUGGAACAAGGUUGUGUAAGUAUUAUUUUUCUUUGGAAUCAACAAUGAUAUAAAAUAAAAGUAUCGUCUAUAAUUCUUAUUGCUUUUAUUUUUGAUCUGUUUACUUUUUUUUUUCUUGUUGCAUGGGAGUUACUUUCUGCAUCCCAUAACUCAAAACCAAACUCAUAUAUAAUUUGAAAAAUCAUUUUUUAUUAUUUUGAAAUUUUGAGGUCCUGACCAACAUAAAAGCAAAAGUUUAAAGUAAAAUUUUAUGCAAAUCCACACCUUUUGAAUAUGAUUCACAAAAGUAAAUUAACUUUAAGUAUAUGAAUUAAUGCAUAGUACCACAACAAAAUAAAUAUAUAAAGUUAGAAAAUAAAAUGAAUGAAUAUUCAUAAUAAGAUUUUCAUCAAGUCCAUCAUAUCUUUAAUUCUUUAAAUCACUAAAUUUUAUUAGUUUUUCUCUUAACUGGUUGCAAGACAAAUAACUUCACCCAUAUUCCUUAAAUUGAACCUCACUGUACUCCCAAGAGUUACAAAAUAUACUCUCAAAACACAUAAAUCUUGAAUUUGUUUUUACUUUCGGUUUUGCUUUGAAAAUAUGGUUUAGUAAACAAAUCAAAAAACAUAAGUCUCCCAAGAUCACAUAAAAGGAACAAGACAGAAAUUUUUAUCUUAUUAUCUUUAAUUAUUUCAUUAAAAGUGACAGUGACAGAAAUUAUCAUCUUAUUAUCUUUAGUUAUUUCAGAUAAUAAUAUUUUAAUAAAAUGAUGCUUUUUUAAGCGUCUUACCUACUUUAAUUCUUUCUUCAAGAAGACCUAUUUUCACAAAGUUAUUUCUGAUAAUCUUGAACCUUAUUUUUUUAUUAAAAUAUUAUAUUAUAAUAAACUAUUUUUUUUUAAAUUUCUUACCUAGUUCACUUCCUGAAUUUUAAGAAACAAAGUUUUGUUCUUUCUCGUAAAAUAUUAUAUUAUAAUAAAAACUAUGUUUUACUAAGUUUGAGAAUUAAUUUGAAAGAAAAUAACAAAAUGUUCACUAGUAGCCACAAUUGUUCACUAGAAGCCCCACUUGUUCACCUGAAAGAAAGUUGUGUGGCAAUUUUUUUUUUCUUUGAUGCACCUUCUUUAGUAAUUUUGUCUUUGAAAAAUGUUUCUUUGACAUUCUUUAAAAAAAUAGCAUUCAUCUAACAAUCAUUUUAAGAUAUAUAUAUAAUAAUGUAUAUUCAGAUUUUAAAUUAAAAAAAAUAUUAUUAUUUAAGAGUGUAAAGUGAGUGUUUUUUUUAUUUUGAGGGUGUUAAACUAGUAAUCACCAAUAAUAAUUUAAAUAUUACAAUAUUAUUUAAUUAUAUUAUACUUUUUAAAUUACAUCACAACAAACAAAAUACCCCCAAUUAUUUUAUGAUAAAAAAAUAGCUCCAAGUAUUCAUUAACUUCAAGUACUAUUUGGAUAAAGAUUAGUUACUGAUUUCUUUAUAAUAUAGAUAUUAUAAUGUAAGAUGAAUUUUAUAUAAAAAUAGAUCCGUCUUCUUGUGAAUUAAAUAUUUUUAAGUAUAUAAUUUUUUUCAACAAUAAAAUAACACUGAAAGGUACACAAAAUCGAGAAAGAAAGUUUUAAAUUUAAAACAUAGUUGAUUAUCAUAAAAUACAUCAAUUACAUAAAUUAAUUAUGUUUAAAUCAUUGUUGAUUAUAUAUAAAUAUAAUUAAUUAUAUUUAAAUAAAUAUAAUAAAUUUUGAAUUUAAAAUUAUGAUAUAAUAAAUAAUUAAAUUAAAUAUUAUUAUAAUAAAAAUGACAAAUAUGCAGUAGGGCAACUUUUGUGUGUUAUAAUAAAUUCAUUAUUUUUAUAUAGAAUAAUGUUUGUUUAUAUAAUAUUUUUUAUAAAUUUUGUAAAUAAAAAGUCAACUUAUUUAAUGUCUUCAAAUUUUAAAUAUUCAUUUUAUUUUAUUUAAUGAGUUGGAAUUGAUGUAAGAAAAUUAUAGGUUGAUUCUCCCUGAACCUGAUCAUUCUCAUCAUUUCAAACUGGCACCCAAUUGUAGAUAGGAAAAGACUAAACUGUCCUUAAUGAAUUUUACAUUAGGUCGACUGAGAUAUGUGCACCCAAUGUAAUGAGAGACUUGCACCCAACCCGCAACCGCAGUGAGUCAUCUGCACCGAACCCACAGCCGCAGUGAGUCAUCUGCACCCAAGUCUUCCUCUUUGUUUUUGUAGUAAACCACAGCUCAACCGUCAACCACCUUCGUUCCGUUUGAUUUCGGCGGCAGAGCAGCAACCGCCACGACCAAUGACUUCACACUUUUUCUUUGAAGGAGCCCUUGAACGGAGAGGAACCCCAGAGCGAACGUCGGAGAAGACAAGGUAAGUGACUUCCGAAUAAUUUUAUUCAGAAUUAUAGUUUGUGUGUUCCGGAUAAAUUUAUGUGUAAUGAUAGUUUGUGGAUUCCAGAUAUUUUUGUUCGGAAGUCAUAUUUGACUUGUGAAUAUUUUUAUCCGGUAUUUGUUAUUGUUCUGCGGAAGACUUCGUCUGUAAGUUGUGUGAAUUUAUUCUGGAUAUUAAUAUUUGUAUUUGUGUUAGGUAGUUAGCGCAAUUCGCAAUAUAUUAUUUUUGGUUUGUUCUUUUAUAUUAUUUGUGUUCCAUUGUAAUUUUGGAUUGAAUGUUAUUUUUAUGAAAAGUAAGAUGGUGAGGACUAGAGGUGGAGGAAAUUCUAAUUUGGACCGUGUGCAACCAACUGCAUCAGUGAGAAGAAGAUGGGGUGAUCCUAGUACAUCAGUUUCAAAUGAACACUUAGAAGAUUAUAUUGAAGAAAAAGAACUUGAGAUUGAUGAUGAAGGCUAUCCAGGAGGGCCAGUGGAUAAGUCGUUACUAAUUAAUUAUGAACAUCAUGUAGCCAGACAGUUAUGGGAUUGUUUGGUAAGUAAUGAAAGUUAAUUUCUUGUAUUUGGUAUGUAUGUAUUUAUUGAUGAUAUAUGUUGAUUAUUGUAGGAUCGUGGUGAGCUGAAGGUCGUUUCACAUGGGAGGAAGAUAAAUAAGUUAAGAGCACCUCAUGAGUGCAUAGAGGCUGUUGUAGAAAUGUGUGGCUUAGGGGGUCUGCUUCAUGCUAGUUAUGAGAUUUUAGACCGAUGACUGUUGUGUGGUUUUGUAGAGAGGUGGCAUGCAGAGACUAACAACUUUCAUUUACUGGUUGGGGAGAUGAACAUCACUCUUGAUGAUGUGUCAAAUUUGUUGCAUUUACCCAUUGUCGGUCAAUUUUACAUGCAGGAAACCUUAGAGGCAGAUUCAGCAAUUAAUUUAUUGGUACAAGCUCUCCGUGUUGACCAUGGAGAUGCAUAUGAAGAAACAAGAUACUGCCAGGGAGCUCAUGUGCACCUGAGUUGGUUAAGAGAUGUGUACAAAGACGCAUGCUCAAGGAAGCAGUGGACUGUGGCUGCCAGAGCUUACUUACUUCACCUUGUCGGUUGCACUAUAUUCGCCGACAAGAGUGCUACAUCAGUUAAUGUGUUUUAUCUUGGAUUUUUUGUUUAUUUGAGGUUGACCGGGGGAUAUUCUUGGGCGGGAGCUGCAUUAACUCACAUGUAUGAGCAACUAGGAGAUUGUAGUUAUGCAAACACUAAGCAACUAGCUGGUUAUGCGACAUUGUUGCAGGGGUGGAUUUAUGAGCACUUCCCGUCUAUAGGGAUGAGACAUAUGCAACCACUGUAUUCUGAAGACCAACUUCGGUGUAGGAUGUAUGAUGCAGGAAAAGGUACUUCAAUUGUUGUUGUUCAAUCACAGUUAGAUACAUUGACACCAACUUCAAUUCGGUUUUGUCCAUAUGACGAGCAUAGGAAAGAACGUCCAUUCGAGUGGAUUUCCUUAUUCUUUGGUUAUUUGAGGCUUGGAAAUUGGACACAAUUGCACAUGUCAGAACGUGUUCUGCGUCAGUAUGAAUAUACACAGAUCAUCCCUCGCAACCCAUUUGUAGUUACACAUGGUGAUCCGGAUACAAAUGAAAUGGACUGUCAAUGAUUACAUUAUGUUGAUUAUGUCAUAAAUGAUAUGGCCAAAGCACCUUAUUCUGACGCUUGCGUUGAAGAGUACAUGUCUUGGUUUAGAUUUGUAUAACAUCCAUAUGUGAUUCAUGCGAAGGAUGAUGAGCGUGGCCACCGAGCACAUCCUGAGGAGUCACAUCCUGAACAUCCUGCUCUGGUAUGCUUGUAACUUUAUUAACGUAUUAAUUUGUGUUAUCUUUUUCUAAUACCAUGACAUUCAUGUUUGUAGGGUAUUUGUCGUAGAAUUACACAGACAUUGCAACCAUUAAUUAAUCAUGGUGAUGUCGUGGAGGGCAACCCUGUUUGGGAAGGCAUACAAGCAGCCAUUAUGUUAGCACGAGGAGUGACUGGUGAUAGAGUUGUAUAUGUUAGGAGACAUUCACGUAGGAAUGAUUGAUUGAGCACGUAUUAGGGAUAAUGUAUUAGGAUUCCUUUUUAUGUAAUAUUUUUAUCCAUGACGAUGUAUUUGAACCUUAUCUAUAUUAUUGAAUGUGGAUUUUAGUAUUUUAAAAAAUCAUGUACUGCUUUUAACUAUUAACACUUAUAUGUUCCGAAUAUUGACAUCCAUAGACACCUGAUUGACUUCCGGAUUUUUCCAUCCAUAGACACGUGUAUGACUUUUGGAUUUUUCCAUCCAUAAGCAGCUGUAUGACUUCUGAUUUUUUUUUAUCCAUAUGCACCAAUAUUGGGUUCCAGAUAAAUCCAUCCAUAUGCACCAAUAUUGGGUUACGGAUAAAUCCAUCCAUAGGCACCAAUAUGGGUUCCAGAUAAUUUCAUCCAUAAAAACAACAAUGUGUUCCGGAUAUUGUCAUCCGUAGGCACCAUUGUGUGUAUAGGAUACAUGCUUCAGCACGCAUAAAUGCAUCACAAAUGUAGUCAAUACAUAUAUUAAAACAUCCUAAAACAAAAACAUUAGUUAUCUAUUACAAAUAUUAAGAUUAGAAAUACUGUCUAAUGGACAUUAUUUGUGUAUAAACUUGCAUCCGGCUAGUGUAGUAUGUUGACCAAGAUUGGGCUGUAGGAUAACAAUGUGAUGCCCACAAUAUAUCUGUAGGUGGAAUAGGACAACCAGCUUUCAGCUUCACCUAUAAAAGUAAUAAAUAUAAGUUACAUAAGUUUUAAGUUAGCACUAUUAGUGACUUUACAUUUUUAUAUAUUUUGGGUAUACCUGGACAAAAUAAUUUUCAUGGACGUGCCCAAUUGCAAUGAUUCGGUGUUGAGUGAAGUUACUUGGUGGUUGGGUUCUUAAAGGAAAAAUAGUCAAUGAUUGUAUCAUGGACAAUGAAACCAAAAUAGCAUUGUACCGAUUAGCAAUAAUGUAUCACAUGUCUGGAAUUGUCAUCCACUUAUCUGUUCCUGCCUGCAAGUUCAAAUGAGGAACAAAGUUAAAUGGUGAAAUGCAAAGUACAAAUGAAAGGGUCUUAAUCAUUCGUACCAUAGACAUGUGGUCAACUAGAAGUGACUUCUUCAUGUAUUCAUAUCGUUCAUCACCACCAAACAGUUCAACAUAUUCUUGUCUCCAUUCACUUAGUUCUUUUAACAAAUUCAUUCGAACAACAACUCAUGACUCCUCUCCCAUGCCCAAUUUGGCAGCAACAACACGGUACCCACAAUGGUCAUCAACCUUAACGUCCACAACAUCAAGAAUGUAUGGAUGAUACCCUGCAGGGAGCUAAUCAAAGAAAGAAAUGGAUUUUGGUGGUAGAAUUUGUGGUGAGUGUCCUUCCAUAGAUUUUUUAGUCGGACAACUAUCCUCUUGCGAGUGUAAGAAAUCCACAUGUUCAAAAUAAGAAGGCAUUCGCUUAGUUGAUCUCAUAAAUUUUGUAGGACGAGUCAUCUUUACAGCACCUUUUGUUUUCACCUUAGCAUGUGGUGCGUUAAUAGAUGUCUUCUCUGGAAAGGCUAUCUCUUGCAAUUUAGAUUUGAUGUUAACCUUACCUAUAACAUCCAACUCUUUGAACCGCUUCACGAUCACCUCAAACUCUUUGUCAAUCAGAUGAACAUUGUUCACCUGCAAUAUCUUCAAAGCUUAAUCGAGUCCACAUGACAUGUACUAAUUUAAGUGGUAUGCUACCCACACCAAAUGAAGCCAAUUAACAUGCACACGGAAGACCAUGAGUACAUGUAAGAGUACAUCCACACCGAUUUUUAUCAAACCCCACUAAUUUGACCCUAUCAAGCUCUUCGGAAAUAAGGUUCAAAGCAUAUUUUGACACAAAACCUAACAAUUUUUUGUAAGCUGUAACCUUAAACCGAUGUCCCACCACAUGAAGACUCUUUUGGAAUGAAGCUUUGAUUGCAUUAUGUUGUAAAAUAAUCAUCUUAUUGAUCGAAUCCCAACAUAAACAUAAAUUCCCCAUAGAAUUUUGAAGAAUUCUCUUUAGGCUCUAGUGUGCCGCCUCAACCUUGUUACUUGUUGUGUUUCCUAAGUGCAUUACCUUAUCUGUCCAUGCCUUCACAAAUUUUUCUUUGUGUUGGACGUAACCAUGUAUUCAUCACAUAAUCAACAAAUAUAGGUCAUGGAGAAAAGACAACUUGAAGAGCAUAGACACGAUCUUCAAAGGCCUCAACAAUAUCACAAUCCACAACAAAUCCCCAAGCUUGCAUUACUUGAUCCCAGGCCUCCCUUGGAUGCACUAACAUUUUACAUUUUGCUUUCACAUUUUUAUCAAUGUGAAAUCGACAGGAAAAUUAUAAGCUUUAGGAAACACGAUUCUCACUGCAUUCAUUAAGGCAAUAUCUUUAUCACAUACUACCAGCCUAGGGUAUGAAUCAAUUCUCAAAAACAAUCAUUUAAGUCUAUCAAGGGCCCACAAAAAAUUGUUUUCCUUUUCUGCUGCUAGUAAAGAAAAUGCAACGGAAAAAGUCAAACCAGUUGAUGUAAUCCCAACAACCUCAAGUAAAGACAUUCUAUACUUGUUCGUUUUGACGUAUUAUCCAUCAAUAUGACAAUAUUAAACGAGUUCACUAGCUUUACUGAAUCCGGGUGUCUCCAAAAUAUAUCCUGCACAACAUUCGACACCUCUUCACACUUACACCAAUGCACGUACAUGUCUCGCUCCAAUAACAACAUGAACUGUUUCAUUUUUGUUCUCACAACCUUGUUGUGAUCUUCGGUGAACACACAUUGCAUUAUAAACUUGCUUUAUCGUUGUCACAUUCUUCUCAUUUCUCUCUUUCAUUGUUAGUAAAAUAUUUCUUGCCUUCACUGAAGUUUUAGUCAUAUCCUCCACCAUAACCUUUUCCUCAACACUUAACCUUCCAGCAUACGAAUGACCCACCGUUGUCUCUGCCAAAUCAUGAUUGUGAGAACCACAAAUUAAUUCAACCAUCCACCCUUGACCACCUUUGACUGGUUUGCCUCGCAAUCUGAAAGGACAUUCACACUUCCUACUUCCCGUUCCACUUCUAUCUACGUCAUUUUUAUACCGCCUGUAUUUACCUCCUUUCUCACAACCUAAUAAUCCGAAUGUCAUCCUUCCUCGUUGGCUCGUCCAUGUAUUUGACCUUAAUAUAACAAUAACAAACCCAUAACUAUAGCCAACACUUCUCGUCCACUCUAACAGUUCAUCUCGAUCACGAAAUACCUACAAUAACAUAUGCCAAAUUUUAAAAUCAUUCAUAAAUAAUAACAUUCAAAACCCUAGCAUUUACCUUACCUCAUUUGUAGUAAAUGCCUCACUACACUUAUGUGUUUUCAUUAUCUAACGCAUUGUAAGUUAUUGACUGCUCCAUAUCAACAUCGUCUAAUCCAUCCUACACAUCAAUCUCUCCUGAAAUUCCCAUGUAUGAGUCAUGUGUAUCCAUUCACAAUGCUGGAAUUUUUUUUUACUUAGCUUGCGGAUACAAAAAUCCAUAAGUCAAAACAUACACUUCCGCAUUCCCACAUCCAUAAAAUAGUAAACUAUUCCGGAUAUGGAUAUCCAUAAUUCAAAAAACAACUACGGAUAUUUAAAUCCAUAGUACAAAACGAAAUUCUGAAUAAUUAUAUCCGUAAUGCAGUGAUAUGGUGCAGAAAAUGUUACUGACUUACGGACGCUUGCAUCCGUAAGGUUAAAAGUAGACUUCUGGAUAUCAGUAUCCGUCACUACCUCUGCUCAAACAAAAUGCGGAAAAAAAAACUUAAAUGUCUUCUUACCUCACAACAAUGUUAAAGUGCAAACGACCCGUCCACCACCACCAAACCACCUCGUAUGCAACUCAAACCACCACCAAAGGAAAACCAACUUUCUCCACACCCUUCACAGUUUUUCAAAAUAAACCUUCAGAGCUUUUCAAACUAAAAAAGAUAAGGACAUACUUGGAUUUUGUAAACUUCGGAUCGAGGAAGUAAUUGCCAAAAUUAUAUUUAUGAAUCCCAAGAUAGGCCAACUUCCUUCAGUUUAUAUGGGAUUUAGUUCUAGGCCAAUUUUGGUUACUGAUAUCUCUCACAAAUCCUAUAGCUUUUAUUUUGGGCUAUUUGCUUUUUUUUUUCUUGUGAGUUACUUCUGCAUCCCAUAAUUUAAAACGAAACUCCUAUAUAAUUAAAAAAAUUAUUUUUCUCAUCUUAAAAUUAUAUUUUAUAAUGUACAAUCCAACAAUAUAAAAAAUAUAUUAUGAACUGUAUAUAUUAGAAUAUAUCAGGUGUAUUUUAGAUAUAAAUUUUGAAAUACAUCUUUUGUAUUUUAGUAUUUUAGAUUAUAAGUGAAUUUCGAAAUUAUAAUUCUAAAUAUAAAAAAAUUAUUCUAAAAUGUAUAAUUUAAAAUAUAUCAUUUUUAGAUUUUUUAAAUAUUUUGAUAUUUUUUUAAAAAUUAUUUUUGAACGUAAUUAAUUUAUUUUAAGAAGUCAUUUUUUGUAUUUUAAAUAUAAAUAAUUUGUUUAAUACAUAUUUCUUUUUAAUAGUAAUAAUAUUAGUAAACAUAAUAAAUGAUGAUAAUAUCUAAUAUAUUAUUAUCAAAUUUUCUAUAUAAUAUUAUUGUUAAAUUUAAAAUACAAAAUCUAUUUAACUAAAAAAAUUGUUUAAGUAGAAUCAUUAAAAAGUGGUAAAAGCACCAGAGUGCCACAGCCACAGAAAUUGCUAUCCCUGAUGCCUCCGAAGCUUUCUGAGCCAGAUUUCACUGCUAUGUAAAACUAGUUUCUUAAGAAAAUUUACAGCAAAAUUUGUUGUUAUUUCACUUCUAUGCAUAUUCAACAUGCAUGUCCUUAGCAAUUUUGUGAGCAUAUGUUAGUAGCAAGUAGUAUUAAGGAUUUCCUAUAUGACAUUAUGUGCAUAAUCUUAUUCUAAUCAGUUUACCUUGUGUUUUGUCUCUAUUCAUGAUAAUGGUAUAUUCACAUAUUAAGAUGAUAUAUUAUAUGUUUUAGAAGUGCAUUAUGGUUGUUUUGAGAAAAUAUUAUGUUCUAUGUUUUGUUAUGUUGACAAUCUUGGUUAGAGAGAUUUGGUGCCAUAGGAAUAAGGUUAUUUUUAAAGGAGGUGUGGUGGAUCAUUCAGAAAUCUUUACUUUGGCUCAAUUGAAGACUUGGUCCUGGGUAACUUCUAAAAUACCCUCUACUUGCUUUUCCUUCUCUGAUUGGUGUCUUGCACCCUUGUCUUUUUUGAAAUCGAUAUAAAUGGCUUGGUACAGUUUAGGGUGACAGGUUUAUUUAUUUUGUUGGAUGAUGGUGUCUAUGGGUUGUUGGGCUGGUGGCUAAGGUUUGUUGUUUUUUUCUCCUUGAUAUGUUCGUAGUGAGUUUGUACUAGGUUGAUAUUGUGCUAGUAUGGAGUUUUUAGUGGUAGAUUAAUAUAUGCUCUUUCUUUGUGCUGGUUUGGGUGGCUUGAGAAGCUGAAUUAUAUUGUAUAAGUAUGUAUAAGGUUGAAUCAUCCCUUAAGUUAUUCCUGUUAUUCAUUUCUUAUUGUUGAUAAAAAAAAUUGUUGAGAAUCUUGGUUAAAAUCAUGUUAAAUGUGAUUUUUUUAAUCUUUUUAUUAUAGUAUACUUUCCAUUACCUUUAUAUGUCUAAUUUAAUAGCAAUAAAUUAAUUAGAACUAAAAUGAGUAUUAUUGUUUACAAAUUUAAAUUAAGUACUAUUUUGAAUAAAUGAAUUUGAAUAUUUAAUGGUCAAACUAGUUGCUAAGAAAAAUAUUUUAUAUUCUACAUCUUUCUUCCCUGAGUAAUAAAUUUAUUAUUUAUUUCAAUUCCAAAGUGAAAUUUGAAAUAUUUAGUCAUAUUUAUAUAAAUAAAUUAUGACAUUUCCUUAAAACUAUGAUGCAAGUUAAUAAAGACACGUCAUUUAUGUUUACUAAUAAGUUAAGACAAGCAUGGAUUUGAUUUUGAAAUUUUUUAUCCAAGUCUAAAUAAUUGAAAUUGAAUAAAAUUCAAAAUGGAAUUGAUAUUAAACCAAAUCCAUAUUUUGUAAAAAAAACUAAUUUGGAGUACAAUGAAUAUUCUUACUUCCUUAAGGUUACAAUGAACAUUUGCACAUCUUCAAGUUACAACAAGUAUUCACAUCUUUCUAGGUUACACCUCCUUAACACCCCUUUAAGAUUAAAAAUUCUCAAGAAAACAAAGAAUACUCUCAAAAGAGAGCACAAACAAAGUUCACAAGUGUAUAACUUCACAUUGUGAAGAAUUACAAUGGUUUAGCCCUUAACCCAAUAAAUUAGACACUCUACCAGAUUGACUAAAGCUCACUGUAGCUCUUGUAUUUUCAGUGUGAUCACUUGUAUAGCUUUUAUUCCUCAACUUACCUUGCUUUUAUUAUUUACCUUCAAUCCCUUUAUAUAGCUUUUCAAAUUUGUCCUUUGAUAUUUGAAUUGGUUAAUUUUGAAUUUUGUAAUAUUUUCAUAGCUUCAUCUUUUUGGUGCUAGAUACUCAAAACAUAAAUCUUGAAUUUGCAAUCUUUUACUUUGUUUUUGCUUUGAAUUUGUUUAAGAAACUAAUUCAAAAGUAUUUGCAAUAUGGUUUAGUAAAAACAAAUCAAAACAUAAUUAUAAAAUAUUUUUGCUAAAAGGAGAGUACUUCAGAUCUUCAAUUUUUCAACUUUGUUUCCUUUUAAAAAAAAAUAUUUAGAGAUAUUCACAGCAUAUCACAACUAAUAAAACUUGUUUAAGCAAGAUAAUUUUGAAAGAUAUAAUAAAGAUAUUUUUCUUUCCUAAAAACAUGUUAAUAUCUUAUUCCACAAAAGUUGGAGAAUAAAAUCUUUUUGAUUACACUUCGACGAUCAAGUCAGUACAAAACUUAUAGACACAAUAAGUAAGUAAGUAGUUUCAGUCUUAGAAACAGUGUACAUUUACCUGGGAUCUCAAGUCCCCUUUAUAGACUACUUUUAGGUUACCUCUUGUAACAACCUUCUUUCACGAGAACCUUAUCUCGAGUGAAAGCACGUUUAAUCAUGGGAGAUUUUGUUACAAUGCGCACAAUCUUAAUACGACAACUGCACAAAAUCUUAUCUCUUUGGAGUGCAUAAAUCUUUAACAGAAUGGCCGCCAGGGUACCAACUCAUGUACCUGCAUUAGGGGUCCAAUCUGUAGGCGUACAAGUCUCUACGUACCAUGCAUGUAACGUAUUCCCUCCAAAACCCUAGUGCUUUGGACUUUGACGUUAUAGAGAAUGUUUUACUUGUACUAGACCCGAAUGUACUAAAUACACUCUUAAACCCAACAACGCUUUUCACUGGCCUAAGGUCUUAUAUGCGAAAGAUUAUACGAACAAAAAUCAAUACACACAUACCUAAAACUCACUCACGUUGUCAAAAAUAUGACUUAACAAUCAAGCUGACUUGUUUAACGUAGGUGCUGAUCUCCGACCAUGUUAAACUCGAUCAUCUGAUGAGUACAUAUAUAAAUUAUAUCAAUUACUAGUUGUAGUUGUUUUGUGUUGUAAAUAAACCUGAAACUUUUAAGUCAUUAACCUAUGGAGCCGUCUCCCGGAAUCGCAUGCAUGUCCUUUCAUUCAAAGGGACACUAACAAAAAUUAUUAUCUUAUUAUCUUUAGUUAUUUUUAUUGAAAGGGACAGUGACAGAAAUUAUUAUCUUAUUAUGUUUAGUUAUUUCUGAUAGCAUUGUCAUAAUCUUGAACCUCGUUUUUUUUAAGCGUCUUACUUCAAUUCUUGAAGAAGUUCUUAUUUUCACUGAUAAUCUUGAACCUUGUUUUUUCUAAUAAAAUAUUAUACUAUAAUAAAAUACUUUUUUUUUCUAAUUUCUUACCUAGAUCAGUUCCUGAAUUUUAAGAAACAAAGUUUUGAUCUUUCUCAUAAAAUAUUAUAUCAUAAAAAACUGUAUUUUAAUAAGUUUGAGAAUUAAUUUGAAAUAAAAUAACUAAAAUUGUCACCAGUAGCCACAAUUGUCAAAAGACCGACUUGAAAGAAAUUUAAGUGGCAAUUUUUUUUAUUUCCUUUAAUGCAUAGAGGUUUGUCUUUGAAAGAUGGUUCUUCUUCAAAUUCUUCAAACACGGGUGAUGAUAUCUUCACAUCAUAUAGCACUCACAGACACUCUUCAAUAAACGGGUGAUGAUAUCUUCACAUCGUAUAGCACCACUAACAGACGCUCUUCAAAAACGGGUGAUGAUAUCUUCACAUCAUAUAGCACCUAACAGACAUAACAGACAUAUAUUGAGAAAUAAAUAAAUUAAUAUUUUAAUGAUAUUUAAUUUAAUUUUAAUUUAAAAUAUUAUUAUAUUAUUGUAAUGGUUUGUCAACGUGUAUUUUACUUCUUGAACGUCAACAAAAUCUUUUUCUUAAAAAACUAAUAUUCAUUUAACAUUUAAAAUAUAAUGAUAUAUAUUAGAAUUUUAUAUUAAAAAUAAAAAAAUAUUAUUACAAUAUUAUUGUUUAAGAGUGUAAAGUGUGUGCUUUUUAUUUUGAGCGUGUUAAACUAAUAAUAAUAAAAAUGGCAAAAAUUGUUCCUUAAUUACUAAAAAAAAAAUUCUUUAACAUCACACCUAAUAAAAAAACAUACACUUAACACUACUAUUUGUCCAUAUAUGUCUGUUAGUGCUGCAUGAUGUGAAGAUAUCAUCACCCGUUAACAACAUCAUAGGAUUGCUGCCACAGGCAUACACAAAAGUCAAUGUCAGCAGAUACAUCCAAAGUUUCCUCACACCGAUUCAAGAUUUUUUCUGAGGAUCUUAACACGUUGAUAAUGUACCUAUAAAUAGAGCACUUCCUGCAAAGCUCUAAAAAUAUUACCAUCCCUAAAGAAACAUUUGGGGUUGAAUUAAGUGUAGAAAUGUGUGGGAGCGGCAAAAAGAGGGCUUGUUGUUGUUCUUGUUCAUGCUCAGAGAAGAAGAAGAAAAGGGUGAAGCAUGGAAAAAGGCCUCUUCCUGAUCUCAAUUACCCUCCUCCUUCUCCUGAGUCAUCAUCAUCAUCAUCAUCUUCUUCUUCUUCUCCUCCUCUUCCUCAUAAUUACAAUAAGGUUCGACACUUCUCUCUAUAAAUAUAUGCCAUGUUUUCAUUUUCAAUUACUUACUUAGAUUCUCCUCAUUACUUAUAAGUUACUAAGUGAAACUAAAUUAUAUCAGCUUCAGCUUCUGGGGGCUGCUCGUCAACACAGUCCUGCUGCUGCUGCCUCUCGGAAGCGUAAAAUGGAGGAGAGUGAGAGUGAGAGUAGCUCCCACUGGAUGAAAGCAUGCUGGAACAAGGUCAUGAAUUAUAUCAUAUCCAAUCCCAACAACCCCAACAAGAAGAAGAAGAAGGAUGAGCCAGCACAAUAACUCCAACUCCAAGCCUGUCUCUAAACUCUUUCAUUAUACAUGUUGUUUCAGUGAUCGUUUUGUUGUUUCGUUUGUUUGGUUGUUGUUGUGUGAUGUUGCAGUGGGCCAAGUUCUGUAUUAUAAUACAUUCAGUAUUUUUAUAUACGAAAAUGAUUAUGAUUAUUUGACAACGUGCGCCACUGUACAACUCUAUCAAAUAUUAAUAUUUUAAUUAUUUUUAAAAACAGGUGAUUUCUUUUAAUUUUUUUAACUUUUUCUUUGUAGUUUUCAUGUGUUUUUCUUCCUUUUUUUUACUUUUAUAUGCAGUUACACAUUUUACGGUGUUGAUUUUCUCCUGUGUUGUCUGUAUUUAAUUACACUUUUGACAUUUUAAUAUUAUUAAUAAUAUUAUUACUCUUUUUAUUAUUAUUAUUGAUAAUAAAUAUUAUAAUGAUAAUAAUAAUUUUAAUAUUAAUAAUAAUUACAAUAAUAUAAAUAAUAAUUAUUAUAAUAAUAUAAAUAAUUAUAAUUAUAAUAAUAUAAAUAAUAAUUAUUAUAAUAAUUAUUAUAAUAAUAUAAAUAAUAAUAAUUAUAAUACACUGCAAAAAAAGUUAAUAUAAUCUCCGUAAUUGGAUUUAAUUACCGAUAACCUCUCUUAAAUUCUAGAGAUUUAUUUUAAAUUUACUAAAAUAAUCUACAUUUAUUUAUUUUAAAUUUUAUUUUUUCUUUGUUUAUCACUUUCCUCCUCUCUUUCAGGUAAACCCUAAUUCUGUCGUUUCCUCUUCACUUUCCUCUCCCUCUAAUCCUUCCACGUUGUAACCAUUCGCUCCUCCUACCUUAACGCCAUCCUCCGCCUCCCGCUCCAACGCCACUACACUCUUUUGCUGCGCCGCUCCAUUCCGCAAUGCUAACAAGUCGCUCCAAUUGGAACUCCAUGCUCGAGAACACCAGUGUGUGUGAUUCCUUCAAGGUUGUUCUAAUUGGAGACUCUGAAAUUGGGAAAUCAAAUCUGCUCUUGCAAAAGAUGUAUUCCAGUUGGAUUCCAAACCCACAAUACGAGUGGAAUUUGCUUACCGGAACAUAAAGGUUGGAGAAAAACUGAUCAAAGCUCAAAUAUGGGACACUGCAGGCCAAGAGAGGUAAGGAACUCACUAUUCCUUCUUUUUCUUUUCUCCCUUCCAAUGGAUGACUCUUUGUUUUCUCUUCAAUUGGUCAUUGCUUUCAACUUUUUAAUUCUUUUUGGCUCUGUAAACUAUAAUAAAAUUACAGUUUUGUUAUUUGUGUGUGAUUUCAUAGUUUGCGUGGUAACUUAAGGCUCUUGAGAUGAAUUGAAUGCAUUGGUUAACUUUAAGUGGUAUUAUCAGGACAUUGCUUUAAGAAGUUAAUAAAUAUAAUUGUGUUCUUAAAUUGUAAAUUAUGUUCGUAACUAAAAGAGAGUGUAUCUAACGUAUUGAAUGUUUUUAUUCCUUUUAUUUUCUUGAUUUACUUUUUUAUUUCUCUUUCUACAGAUUUUGCAUCAGGAUUUCGUCAAGAUGGAGCUUCAGGAUUUCAUCAUUUAAUUAUAUUAAAGUUUUUCAUAAAUUAACAUUAUAUUUUGCCUAUAUAUAUAUAUAUUAAUGAAGCUUGGUUUCUUUUUGUUCUCUCUAGUUUUCUACCUGAUACUAGAACCUGGGAUCUUCAAAGUAGAAGCUGAUGACCAUGAUGAUGAGUUUGUGAAACUAAGAGGGGUGCAGCUUGUGUUGAAUGAGAGACCCUACUAUGCUAAUGGUUAUAAUGCCUAUUCGCUCAUGUACAUGGCCUCUGAUCCAUCUCAGAGAAACAAGGUCUCAUCUGCGUUUCAAGUAGCUGCGAACCAUGGACUUAGCAUAGCAAGAACAUGGGCUUUCAGUGAUGGUGGAGAUAGGCCCCUUCAAUACUGUCCUGGAUCAUACAAUGAGAACAUGUUCCUGGUCAGUUUUCAUCUCCAUUUUGCAGUCUCUAAUCUUUGAAUUUUUUUAGAGAUUGUGAUAUUGAACUAGAGUAAAGAUGUUAAUUAGUUGUUUAAUCUUUUAAAGCACUUAAUGAUCAUGUUAUGUUAUAUAUAUAGUCUAUUUUACCCUGGCAUUCCAUCACAGAUAAUCAUUGAAUUAAUAGUUAACACAAAUAUUGUAAUAAAAGUGAAAAAAGUUUAUGCAUAUAUAUGAUGGUUUGAUGAACUAUAAGCUAUUUUUUCUUAAUUUUUAUAAUUUGAUGAUGGUUAACAUUAGUUCUUCUGCCAAAUGCAUGCUUGCUAUAAUUGGUGUUCAGUUUUUUGCAGCAGUAAUAAUUAUAUUUUGGCUGUGUAAAUAAUGAAGGGACUGGACUUUGUAAUAUCAGAAGCCAGAAGGUAUGGGACCAAGUUGGUGUUGAGUUGGGUGAAUAACUAUAUAACUAUGAUAAUUCAUUUGGAUAUUUACAUGGGUGGUUGGUUUUUCUUCCUCCUAUGUUUCGGAUUGGGUUGUAUCUUUUUGGAACAUGAUGGUUUUAGCAAUUCCCAUAUUUUAUUCAACUAUUCAACUAAUAUAUAUUAUUUUGUUUUAAAAUUUCAUUUGUAUUUAUUUUCAAAUGGCGAGGGAGGAUAAGGAAUCACCUUCUCCUUCCCAAACAAUCGUAGAAUACACUACAAUAAAAUGACAUUAUGAACAUAUCCCUAGAUGAUAAUGUGACAUUUUUUGGUUAUUACACAGAACUUAGGAUUAUUCUUACAUUUAGUUUUGGUUCAGGUUCUAUUCCUUGCAAUGGAAGACAUGGGGUGCAUGUUUCAUACAAGCAGCAUGGCGUAGAUACAGAAAAAAGAAGGCAGAGAGGCUGUUACGCGAAGCAGAAGAAAGGAUUCAAAAUUUGGAGAAUGACGAAGGGUCCUCACCAAGAUUUGCAGCCACUGUAUUUUGUGAGCAUAUGUUAGUAGCAAGUGGUGUUAAGGAUUUCCUAUUUAACAAGAUUAUGUGAAUAAUCUUAUUCUAAUUAGUUUACAUAUUCUAGUAUUUUUUUUUAUAAACUACUUGUGUUUUGUCUCCAUUCAUGAUAGUAGUAUAUUCACAUCUUAAGAUGAUUAUAUAUUAUAUGUUUUAGAAGUGCAUUAUGGUUGUUUUGAUAAAAUGAUUAUGUUAUAUGUUUUGUUAUGUUGACAUCUUGGUUAAAAUCAUGUUAAAUAUGAUUUUUUUUAUCUUUUUAUUAUAGGUCUAAUUUAAUAAUAAUAAAUUAAUUUGAACUGAAAUGAGUAUUUGUUUACAAAUUUAAAUUAAGUACUAUUUUGAAUAAAUGAAUUUGAAUAUUUAAUGGUCAAACUAGUUGCUAAGAAAAUUAUUUUUUAUUCUGCAUCUUUCUUCCCUAAAUAAUAAAUUUAUUAUUUGUUUCAAUUCUAAGUGAAAUACGAAAUAUUUAGUCAUAUUUAUAUAAAUAAAUUAUGUCAUUUCCUUAAAACUAUGAUGCAAGUUAAUAAAAACACGUUAUCUUGAUUAUACAAUUUCGCCAUUUAUGUUUACUAAUUAGUUAAGACAUGCAUGGAUUUUAUUUUGAAAAUUCUUAUCCAAGUCUAAAUAAUUGAAAUUAAACCAAAUCCACAUUUUGUAAAAAAAAUAAUUUGGAUUUUAUAGAUUUAAGUCUAAAGAAUUGAAUUAUUUUAAAUCCAUAUUUUUUUUAAAAUAAAGUUUAAAUGUUUAUAGUUUGGUAUAUCCAAGUUUAAAAUAAGAUAUUCUUUUUCAUCUUCAGUUUUUAUGAAAUUUUUUGUUGCCAUAGGUAAAUUUAAUUAUCAUAAUCUCCCUUUGCAUCUUUAGUAAUUAAAUUUGAGUAUAAAAAUUGGUAAAUUGUCCAAAAUUUAAGAUUAUAACCAUUUCAAUAUAAUAUACUUUAUAUAUAUAUAAAUAUAUAUAUAUAUAUAUCACUUUUAAUAUUAUCUUCACCAAAAUUACAAAUAUAAAUUAAUUGAUAUAUCUUUCAAUAUGUAACAAAGAAAAAUAAACAAAGAAUCUAUAUAUACAUACUUAUAAUAAGUUUUAAGUAUAUGCACAUAAAUUUAUCAUUAUACUUACAAUGACAAUUUUGCUUACCUUCAUCUAAAUCGCUUACAUUCUUUUCUUAGCUAUGUACUUUGUUCACACUAAAACAACUAUUUUUAUAAAAAAAAUCAUUCUACCUAUAAACAAUAGACAAGUAAGGAUGUUGGUGUAUAGUUAUUGCAAUGUUACAUAUUAUAUUAUAUAUAUAUAUUAAAAUUUUAUACAUUAUUUUCAAUACUAUUGAAUAAAUAUUUUUGAAAAAAAUAUGAACUACUUAUUAUUGUUGGAAGAUACAAAAUUUCAUUAUAAAUUAAACUAUAAUUAAAAAUCAUAAAAAUUGUUUAAAAAUAAUUUUAUAUAAUAAAUAUAAUUAAUUAUUUUUUAAUUAAUAAAAAUAUAAUAUUAUAAUUAAUUAAAAAAUUAUAUAUUUAUAUAAAAUCUAUUUUAAAAUAUUAAAUCAAAUUUUUCGUUUAAAAAAAUAUAAACUAUCUAAUUAUAAAAAAUACAUUUUAAUAAAAAAAAAUAUUCAAAUAUUUAAAAUUAUUUCUAUAUUAAAUAAUAUUAUUACUUUUAUAUAGUUAAUAUUAUUAUUAUAUAAAGUAUCUUUUAUUAUAAAUAAUUAUAUUUAUUAUUAUUAUUGUAACACCCCAUAAUUUACAUAUAACUAUUACAAUACGAGUUUUACAUAUUUCCAUACAAGCUUAUAGUUUUUCAAAACAUUCCUAAUACGUGAUUAGGACAUAUAGAAAUACAAAUAUUUACAAUAUAAGUUUCAAAAUCAAUGCCGUAAAACUCUUCUGAUCCUCAGACACCUGUAAGAUCAUCUGCUCGUGUACGUAAUAUGAUAAUCGCAGUUCAAACACAGUAAGAAAAGCAAGGGUAAGCUAGUGAAAAUAGAAUUUCAUAAUAUACACAAUUAAGUCAAAAGAGAAAACCAAGUUACAUGAUCAAUUUCUCAAAUUAUACAAUCUUUUUCAAAUCCCUACAUUAAAACAAUCACAUAGAUCUCAUAUGGAUCUACACAUCAAGAUAUUCAACAAACAACGUCUUCUGGAAGACCCGUAUUAAGUAAGUCCUACCAGAGACUAACACCUGAUCCAAAGAUUACCAGCGAAUCCAACAGAAAGGAUCAGGGUAAGUUCAAUACAACCCAAGUCGUGCAUCUCAUAUGUCACGAUGUGCAUGAACUCCCCCAUCAGCUUCUCACCACUUGAUAUCUUAGUCUAUGUUACUUAGACCAUCAGUGAAGCUCGGAGAUAUCUGUUACCACAUAGGCAUCAAUACUUAAUACACAACAAACAUCAGUCCAUACAUUAUCCCAAAUGUAUGAAUUCAAUUCCAUACCAUUCCGUCAUACAAUAUCAUUAAAAAAAAGUGAUACACAAUAUUCAAAAGUCUAUUUGACAUAAAAAAAUAACACUUUAAUACUAAAUCAUCAAAGUAUAAUAUUUUUACAAAUUUAAAUAAUAUACAAACAAACAACCCAAUAUAUAAACACAUAACAUCCUGCAAGAAAAAUUGAAUAUUGGGACCACAUCCCUUCCGCAUUCAGAUCUUCUAUCCUAGGGUGCUUGCUAUUAAAAAUUAAAUUUAGCUUCUCUUACCUCAAUUGUUUGUUUUUCAAGCAACUUUUAGAAUUUUAUUCCCCACUGGAUAAACUUCAAGAUUUACGAGUUUAAUGCAAGUUAUCCAAACAUAACAAAAAUUCAGUAUAUAAUAGAAUAAGUUGAGAGGAUUAAACUUCUCAACUGACCCCACAAAGAUUGAUAACUAAAUCCUAAGGAAAAACAGAUAACAAAGGAUAUUUAGAGUAAAAAUGAACUUACUCUGUUUGAAAAUCUGAUCAAAUGUUCCUUAACUACUCUGCUACAGCGUGGUAUGAUCAGAUUCUAAAAUAGAUUAGGUAUGGAGUGAGAAAUUAAGAGAAAAGGUAGAAGGGAGAGAUGGAAGAAGAAAGAAGAAAGAAAAAGAAUGGUUUGGGGGUGAGUUUCUGUUUCUAAAAAAAACGGCGUUGUUACAAUUAUUAUUAUUAAAUAUUUUUAUAACAUAAAUUUAUUUAAUAUUUUAUUUUUUAAAUGUUUUAGUUUUGAUUUAUUUACAUGGAUUCUUUCAAAAAUUUCAAGGAUAAUUUGAUUAAUUAGGAUAAUCUAUCUAAAGAAAUAUUUGGACACAUACGAAGAUAAAGAAAAUCUAUGAUUUCGUCACUCACAAUCAUCCAUUUUAAUCUAAUCUGUGCAUUUCUUUCUUUUUGUACAGUAAGUAAUCAUCUGCUUUUUCUUUUAAUCUCCCAUAAUCAUGUUAUCCAUUCCCAUUAUGCAACCCAUAGUCACCCACUAUCACCAAAAACAAGAACAAAAAAACAUAUUGGGGACAAUGACAAAAUCUUUUUACUUCAAUCUUUAGUACCACCCUCAAUCCUUGAACAACUCCUAUUUUUCACUAAGUUAUUUCUGAUAAUUUUGAACCUUAUUUUUUCUAAUAAAAUAUUAUAUUAUAAUAAAAUAAUGUUUUUUUUUAUAGUUUCUUUGAUGCACCCUCUUUAGUAUUUUUUAUCAGAUAAAUUUUUAUAAUUCAACUAUAAUUCUAUUUAAUUUAUCCUUGCCAAUAAAAAUAAAAUAAAUCAAUAAUUUAUUAUAAUCCAGUUGGUUAAAAAAUUAUUGUCACUAGUUUAUAUAGUAAAAUAAACAAAUCAGAAAAUCAUAUAAAAAAAAUAUUCAACUAAAAAAAUAUAAAUAUCAUAAUGUUUUAUUUAUAUAUAAAUCACACCAAUUAUUAGUUAUGUGUUGUAAAUAAUAUGAAUCUUCUUAAGUCAAGAUCUUGAGAGUUGAUAUCAUGAAAAGUAUUCUUCUUUGAGUGGUGUUGACAUCAUACACAAUAAUACAGAGUUUGUGAAUAGUAUGUAUUUUACUUUUUUGGUGUGAACAAAAUUUUCCUUUUCCUUUUCUUUGUUCUCUUUCGCCACACUACUGGUUAAGGAAAACAUUCAUCCACAGUCUGUCAACUCACACAUUGAUACUAUAAAUUAGGGCACUUCCUGCAAAGCUUAAACAUAUUCAGAGAAGUGUAGAAAUGAGUGGGAGCGACAAAAAAAAGGGUUUGUUCUUGUUCAUGUUCAGAGAAGAAGAACAAAAGGGUGAUGAAGCAUGGGAAAAACCCUCUUCCUGAUCUCAAUUACCCUCCUCCUCCUCCUGAUGAACACCACCAACAUUCAUCAUCUUCUUCUUCUCCCCCUCCUCCUCCCAAUUACGAUAAGGUUCCACACUUCUCUCUAUAAUGUUUUCAUCUUAUUUAGAUUCCACUACUCAUUACUUAUAAGUUACUGAGUGAAACUAACUAAAUUAUAUCAGCUUCAGCUUCUGGGAGCUGCUCGUCAACACAGUCAUGCUGCUGCUUCUUCUGCGAAGCCUAAGAUGGGAGAGAGUGAGAGUGAGAGUAGCUCUCACUGGAACAAGGAGAAGAAGAAGAAGGAUGAGCCAGCACAAUAACCCUGAGCCUGUCUCUAAAACUCUUUCUGUUCCUGCUAGGGAGAUGGGACCUAGAGAACUAUUGAAGUCUUCUUCUCCUUCCUUCGGUCGGGCAGGUGGCUGGGUGAUGAACUGGGAUCCUUCUCGUCCUCCUGCUUAUCCUUCGGCACUCGGGACUCGGUCGUCGGGUGAACACCGGAUGGUGGGGGUACCUGCGAAGGCACUCCGACGCUCAAGUCAGUAAAGCGGGUGGUUAGCUCUCAGGUAGGUGAACAGUAAUAAUGACAUACCUUACUCCUUGAAAUGCGUGCUAUUUAUAUUAUUCUAGUGGGCCUACCUUGUUGGGCCCGUUUAUCGAGGUGGAUACCGCUUAGGGUUGCAUUACCUAAUUCUUGAUGAUGGAUUAGCUUCACUGAUCUCGGUUUGAGCAUUAAUUGUAAUGGGGUUUGGCCAUCGGCCAAAUUCCCGUGGCCUUCGGCCGUUUCAGUUGAGUCUUCAACGGUCUUGGUCGCACGGCCAAGUCUCCAAAAGGUCUCGGCCUCUCGGUCUCUCGGCCAAGUUUCCAAAAGGUCUCGGCCUCUCGGCCAAGCUUCCAAAGGUCUUGGCCACUCGGCCAAGUCUUCAAACGGUUGAGAUUGGUUUGACGUUUCGCAUUCUGAGGCCCAUGGGCCCUAUAAAUAGGGGUCUACCAGCGUCGAGGUCCCUCAUUUGCAUUCGUGAGUUUUUUCUUGGCAGCCGAGUGAUCCUUCGCCCACUGCUGAGUGUUGAGUGUCCUUUCGCCCACAGCUCUGAGAUCCGAGCGACUUCUCGCCCAUUCUUACUAGGUUCGGUCUCGUCCAUUUAUUUACAAGGUUAGUGAUGUCGACCGUGUCUCGGCCAACGUCUUCUUCGUCUGGCCAUUCUUCUCCUUCUCUCGGUCGCCCUCCCCGUUUUGAAAAGUCGUCGUCAUCUUCCUCUUCCUCUUUUUCCUCUUCUUCCACCUCCUCUGCCGAGCCUACCUCGGUUGGGGUGGCCGAGGUGUCGCCCCUGGUAGAGGUUGUAAGGGGGGAUGUCUCGGCCAACGCUAUUGAUCGAUCAGAUUCUCUUCUGAUGGAUAUCCCGGCUGAUGUUGUUGGUCGGUCGGGCUCUCCCCUGGCGGCUAUUCCUUUGGAGGACCUUAGCUGGGUGGAUCCUCGAGUAGUCGAGAUCUCGUCCCUCUAUGGGACCGAGUUGUCCGUGGCCAAGUUCUUGGCCCGUCAUCCGAUCUUAAAGGCGGAAGAGUAUUCGAGUUACUUCGACGUCUUGCCUUGUGGGGUGGCCGAAAGUGUGUGUAUGGGGCGGCCAGGUGUUGGUCCCCCAUUUUUUUAUAUGUAUGCCUGUUUUUUCAAAGACCUUUAUGUUUCUCUCCCUUUCGAUGAGUUUACGAUGGGCGUCCUUCGGACGCUUAACGUGGCUCCUACCCAGGUUCACCCGAAUACCUGGGCGUCCCUUCAGGCCUUUCGCCUGUUGUGUGACGUUAUGCGCCUUCAUCCCUCCCCCUCUUGUUUCCUUUCUUAUUAUAAGUCUCACCCCGCCCAAAAGGCUGCUUGGCAUUCUUUAGCCGGGCGGCCGGGUUUGGUGUUGUUUGACUCCUUCGCCCUCUCGUAUAAACGUUUCAAAGAGAGGUUUGUGAAGGUUGUCAUUCGUCCCGAGGCGACCCCCUUCUUUUUUGACUCGGUCGGUCGGUCGAGGUUCCCCCUAUACUGGACUCGGAAUCCCUGUGAUUUCAAGGAGUGGCCGAGGCCGACCGAGGGUGAGGACGAGUUGGGGGUUCUUGCCCUUUUUGAUGCCUUACCGAGGAAGCUUCCAUGCCGGGGGCUGAUCGGCGCGUAUACCAAGUCUGCGCCAUGGGCGGCCGUGAGGGGUAUGUGUUUAGGCUUGUCUAGGGCGGUCGAUCUCUUUUGACUUGCGUGUGAUCUAACUAUUAAUUUUGUUUUGCAGAAAUCAUGGUUAGCGAACGACCGGCGGCCGUUAGUGUACUCGACAAGCACCGCCAAAAAGCGGCCGAUCGCAGGGGCCGUCGGAGUUUAGAGGUGAUCCCUCCGCCGAGCGAUACAGGGGCGGCUGGUUCUUCUCACAAGUCCAAGGGGCCGGCCGGCCCCACCCACAAGUCCAAGAAACGUCCGAGGGACGUUAGCAACAUUGCCACCACCACCCGAUCUCCCGGGUCCAUGCCGACGCCCCCUCCUUCUCGGCGAGUAACAGCCGAGACAGUGACCAGCUCGCCCGGUCCUUUGGUGCGCGGGGCAGCCGGGCCAUCGGAAGUCAAUGCUCGGGCGACGCCCACGCCUUUCGACCUCUUGGGGGGUGGGUACCGAUUUUCUCGAAGAGUUCACGUCGCUCUUCCAGAUGAGGCCCGAGACUCCCUUCUAGACGUCUCUCCCUCGGACCUCCUAAAGAGUGGCUUUGAAUUGAUGUGCCGCUCGGUCGUCCUCUUUUAGAGUGGGCUUGUUGGCCGAGAGCGUCAGGCCGAGGAGGUGUCGGCCUUGGAGCACAAGCUGUCCGAGGCCAAUCAUGACUUGGAGCAAUCUUUGGCUACCAACACCAACCUAUCGGCCCUGAUUGCUACGGAGGCGGCCGAGAAGGAGUUGGCGCGGAAGGAGGCGGCCGAGGCAAAGCGUCAUCUGGAGGCAGAGAAGCUGAGGGCGGCUGCUGAGAUCGCCAACUUAAGAAAGUUGGUCGAAGAGAAGGACGGGCAGCUCUCUUCCUCGGCCACUGAGAUGGCCGCCCUUCAACUUGCCAAGGAGCAAGCCGAGGCCGAGCUUGAUGAAAAUUAUGAAGAGGCCGAGGAAUUGCUGAAGCAGUGCUUCGAAAGGGCCGUGCGUCAAGCGCAUGUGCUUUAUGGCGGACCGCCGGCCACUGGUGAGUUUGACCUGGAUUCUGAGGUCUACCAGGGUCGAUUAAUGCCAAGCGCUGAAGUGGCCGCCUUAACUGCUCAGGAAACUGAACUGGCCGGGACCGAGGAGGGGGAGGCCGAGGUUCGGGGUAAGGAGGUCGAGGCUGAGGAGGGUAGAUGCAUUAAUAUCCAGGAUUAGGUUUGCCUUUGGCCGGGUUGUGGCCUUUUCCUUUUUUAGCAUCCUCCGAGGCUGGGGCGCAGCCUUCUUAUUUUGUUUUGAUGUAUCGCCCGGUUCUUCUUCUUUAUCAAUAUAUCGUCCAUCUUUCCUUUUAUCAGUUUGACAUGCAAGUUAAACAAUCGGUCUGUCAUUUGUUAGGGUCGCCGGCCAUAGAUUGUGAAUGUUAAAUUCGGGCAAGUAAAAUAUGGGCGAUCGGCCAUCAAUCGCGAGUGUUAAAUUCGAGCAAUUUAAAAUAUGGGCGAUCGGCCAUCAAUUGCAAAUGUUAAAUUCGAGCAAUUAAAAUAUGGGCGAUCGGCCAUCAAUUGCGAAUGUUAAAUUCGAGCAAUUAAAAAUAUGGGCGAUCGGCCAUCAAUUGCGAAUGUUAAAUUCGAGCAAGUAAAAUAUGGGCGAUCGGCCAUCAAUUGCGAAUGUUAAAUUCGAGCAAUUAAAAAUAUGGGCGAUCGGCCAUCAAUUGCGAAUGUUAAAUUCGAGCAAUUAAAAAUAUGGGCGAUCGGCCAUCAAUUGCGAAUGUUAAAUUCGAGCAAGUAAAAUAUGGGCGAUCGGCCAUCAAUUGCGAAUGUUAAAUUCGAGCAAUAAAAAAUAUGGUCGAUCGACCGGCCGACACUUGCGAUGUUAUUCGAGCAAGUGGGCGUUCGGUAGGCCGGCACUUGCGAUGUUAAUUGAGCAAGUGGGCGUUCGGUAGGCCGGCACUUGCGAUGUUAAUCGAGCAAGUGGGCAUUCGGUAGGCCGGCACCUGCGAUGUUCGGUAGAGUAUUUCCAACACUUUGAUGAAAACGCCUCGUUAAAACCUCCCUGGUUGGAUGAGGAAAGAGUGCGUGUUUUUAUUGAUUUUAGCUGUAAUAGAACUUGAGGUGCGUGGCAUUCCACGUCCUCGGUACAAUUUUUCCUGAAAGCCAUUCUAGAUGAUAGGCUCCUCCUUGUGCGACUUCUCGGACUCGGAAAGGCCCCUCCCAGUUGGAUGAGAACUUCCCUUCAUUUUUUCUGGCGUCGCUACGCAUUCUCCAGACGAGAUCGCCCUUCUGGAAACAUCUCGGCCGGACUUUGGUGUUGUACCGUCUGGAUGCCCGGGCUUUGCAGGCAGCCUCUCGAAUCUUGCUUUUGUCACGCAUCUCACUUACCAGGUCGAGGUUGACCGCUAGGCUUUCCUCGUUUAGGGUGAGAUCGAACAUCUGCCGUCGUAUGGUGGGCUCGGCCACCUCAACUGGGAUCAUUGCCUCGGUUCCGUAUGUCAGGCUGUAGGGUGUUUCCUGUGUGGUAGUUUGGGGGGUGCACCUGUACGCUCAAAGUACCUCGAUCAGCUCUUCGGUCCAUCGGCCCUUUACUUUGCCCAGACGCUUCUUCAGCUCGUUGAGUAUGACCUUGUUGGCGGCCUCGGCCUGCCCAUUGGUUUGUGGGUGUUCCACCGAGGCCGUGAUGGACUUGAUGCCCAGGUCGUCAUAGAAGGACUGUAGGCCUCGAUCGAUGAACUGUCGGCCAUUGUCAGUUACUAUUGUGUGUGGGACGCCGAAUCGGCAGACUAUGCUCCUCCACACGAAGUUUUGUACAUUCUUCGCCGAGAUGGAGGCGAGGGGUUCGGCCUCGAUCCAUUUUGUGAAGUAGUCGACUCCCACCAGGAGGAAUUUGGUCUGCCUCUUCCCUGGGGAGAAUGGACCGAUAAUGUCAAUCCCCCACAUGGCGAACGGCCACGGGGAGAUGAUGCUGUGUAGUUCUUCCGGCUUGGUGUGGUGGAGGGGGCCGAACUCUUGGCACUUGGCGCAUUUCUUCACGUAUUCGGCACAGUCGCUCUGUACGGUCGGCCAGUAGUAGCCGGCUCUCAGGACCUUGGCGGCCAUCGUCCUCGCCCCAGCGUGAUUUCCGCAGAUUCCCUCAUGGAUCUCAGCCAGAAUGUACCCGGCCCUUUUAUUGGUGAUGCACUUUAGCAAGGGGGUCGAGUAGCCUCUCCGGUACAAAUCUUUGUUGAUCAUGGUGUACCGGGCGCAUUGUUGCUUCAUCGCCUUCUCCUGGUCGGCCGUGCACGUGCCGUCCGUCAGGUAUUGGAUGACGGGUGUCAUCCAACUGUCGGCCUCAGCCUCUUCUUCUUCUACAGCCAGACACUCGGCCUCGGCCUCCGUCACACUUGGGUGUCUCAGCCAUAUUUGUAUGACCGACCUCUGAUGGCUCUUCUUUUUGGUGACCGAGAGCUUGGACAGGAUGUCGGCCCUCUUGUUGUCCUCCCUCGGUAUGUGUUGCAAGGGUGCUUUGCUGAAGCGGGCGAUACUGUUUUUGGCCGCGUGGUAGUAUCGCUGUAGCAAAGGUUCUUUAACCUCGAAAUCUCCAUUGACUUGGCCGACCAUCACCUGGGAGUCGCUUUUGCAUGUAACCUCGCGUGCUCCCAUGUCGUAGGCUAGAUUCAGCCCGGCCAGCAAGGCCUCGUACUCGGCCUGGUUGUUGGUCGCCCGAAAUCCGAACUGGAGGGCUUGUUCCAGGAGGAGGUCGCCCGGCCCCUCCAGGACAACUCCCGCUCCACACGCUGUUUUAUUUGAGGAGUCGUCCACGUAGAGAGUCCAACCGGCCGAGAGGGUGGGCAGUGGUGUCAACUCGGCCGAGAAGUCGGCCAAGCAUUGAGACUUGAUGGCGCCCCUCGGCUCAUAACGUAUGUCGAACUCGGAGAGUUCGACCGACCAUCCUAUCAUCCUCCCUGCAAGGUCCGGUUUAGAUAAAAUUUUAAAAAUGGGGUAGUCGGUUCUUACAGUUAUUGAGUGAUUUUGGAAGUAGGGGCGCAUCCGUCUUGCCGUGAGGACGAGUGCGAGAGCCACCUUCUCAAUCAUCUGANNNNNNNNNNNNNNNNNNNNNNNNNNNNNNNNNNNNNNNNNNNNNNNNNNNNNNNNNNNNNNNNNNNNNNNNNNNNNNNNNNNNNNNNNNNNNNNNNNNNAUCGGGUCUCGGCCGAGUGGAGGGUUCGGCUCACAAAGUAUAUGGGUCGCUCCUCGCCCUCGGCUUCCUGCACUAGGGCAGCGCUGACUGCUUCUUCCGAGACUGCUAGAUAUACCAAGAUUGGGGUGUCGGGUCUCGGCUUCUGGAUGACGGCCGGGGAUGUGAGGAACUCCUUGAAUUUUUUGAAGAUUUCCUCGCAUUGGUCGUCCCAGACGAAUUUUUUGCCUUUUCGGAGCAACUGAACGAUCGGCCUCGUCCUCUCGGCCAGACGGGGGACAAAUCGAGAGAGGGCGGUCAGCCGCCCAAGGAGUUGUUGUACCUCCUUCACGGUGUUCGGGCUUCUCAUGCUGAGUAUGGCCUGGCAUUUGUCGGGGUUGGCCUCUAUCCCUCGGUGGGUUUGCAUGAAACCUAGGAACUUUCCUCCCUCUACCCCGAAAGUACAUUUUUCGGGGUUGAGUUUCAUGUUGACUCCCCUUAGAGCCUUGAAGACCUCGUCCAGAUCCUUCAGAUGUUGCUCGAACGAGUCGGACUUCACGACUAUGUCGUCCACAUAGACUUCUACCGCCCGGCCUAUCAGACCCUUGAAAAUUUUGUCCAUGAGACGCUGGUAGGUCGCCCCGGCGUUCUUGAGGCCGAACGGCAUGACCUCGUAGUAGUAGUUGGCAUCGGCCGUCAUGAAGGUCGUCUUCUCCUUGUCCCGCGGGUGCAUGCUUAUCUGGUUAUAGCCAGAGUAAGCGUCCAGGAAGCUCAUAAUUUUGUGGCCAGCCGCCCCAUCCACCAGGCGGUCAAUGUUCGGGAGGGGGUAGGUGUCCUUCGGACAUGCGCUGUUGAUGUUUCUGUAGUCGACGCACAUCCUCCAGUUACCGUUAGGCUUGGUAACCAUGACGACGUUGGCCAGCCAUGUCGUGUAUCGGGCCUCCCUUAUGAAUCCGGCCGACAGGAGCUUUCCGGCCUCCUCCUUCGCUGCGAGUCGUUUUUCGUCGCCCAAGUCCCUCUUCUUUUGGGAGAUCGGACGGGCUUCCUUAAAUAUGGACAAUGGGUGAUGACAUCCGGACUUACUCCCGGCAUGUCAGUCGGCGUCCAUGCGAACAUGUCGACAUUCUUUUUUAGCGCGACGUGCAUGACCUCGGCCUCGGCCGCCGCCAAGGCUGUCCCUACAGCCGUGCUGUGCUCUUCGUCGAGGAGGGGGACUCUCCUCAGCUCUUCUCUUGCGUCUAGCCUGUCCUCGGUUACCCGAGGAUCAAGGUCUACUAGUGCCACGGUUGGCUGGGCCUCCCUAGGCCGGUUCUUCCUGGGGGAGCGGUCCUUUCGGGAGGACUUUCUCGCCCGAAGGGGAGAGGUGUCUGCCCUUAGAGGCUCCACCCGGAGGCUCUCGGCGUAGCACUCUCGUGCUUCUUUCUGGUCCACGUGGACUGUGAGAAUGUCUCCUGUCUUCGAAGGAAAUUUCAUUGCGAGAUGAGGGGUUGAUACUAUGGCCAUCAGCCGGUUGAUGGAUGGUCGGCCGAGGAGGAUGUUGUAGGAGGUGUUGGCGUNNNNNNNNNNNNNNNNNNNNNNNNNNNNNNNNNNNNNNNNNNNNNNNNNNNNNNNNNNNNNNNNNNNNNNNNNNNNNNNNNNNNNNNNNNNNNNNNNNNNUUCGCCCGAGAAUCCUACCACGUGGUCGUCGUAUGGCAUCAUCUCGGCCUCGGUCAUUUUCAUGGCCUUGAAAGUUUUCCAGUAGAGGAUAUCUACCGAACUUCCUUGGUCUACGAGGGUCUUCCUUAUGGUGAAUCGAUCUAUGUCGACCGCUAUCACCAUCGGGUCGUCCUGCUGGCGGUAGUCUACGCCCUUGAAGUCAUCGUCCGUGAAUGUGAUGGGUGGCAUUCUCGGUCGGAACGCCACAGCGUCUACCUGAUGUACCGCCCGGAGAUGCUUCUUUCGGGCGUUGUUCGUGCUUCCUCCCCCGGCGAAGCCGCCGGCUAUAGUGUUGAUAACCUCUCGGUUACCUCUCCUAUCGGCCUCCUUGGGGGGAUCGUCUCUUCGAGGGGGAUCGGCCCUUGCGGGUUGUCGGUCGCCUCUGUUGUUUUGGUUUUCUCGGCCGCGCUGAGGUGACCUCGUCCGCCUGGGUGGAUCCGCCCGGCCUGGUGGGUCUCGGCCAUUCCUGAUGAACCGACGGAGAUGCCCAGCCUGGAUAAGUUCCUCUAUCUUGUCCUUAAGGGUCUGACACUCGUCGGUUGAGUGUCCGGUGUUCUGGUGGUACCGACACUGCUUCCUCCGGUCGGUGUUAUUUGGGCUGGCCACCUUCCUUGGGGGAGGGAUCAGCUCAGCGUUAAGGGUUUCGUCCAGAAUCCUUCCCCGCUCGACCGUUAGGGGUGUAUACCUCGAGAAACGGACUGGUCGGUCUCGGUUUUCCCGGCGCCGGUCAGUUCUCUGUAUCGGCCGCACCUGACGGUCCUUUUCUUCCUUCCUCUCUCCGCCGGCCUCGGCACGGGCCUGGUUGCGGAACUCUCUUAGUUCCUCCAGCUGCAUGUACUUAGCGGCUCUCUUUCUCAGCUCGUCCAGGCUGUCGGCCGGCUGCAUGCAUAGGUUGUCGGCAAAGGGCCCCGGGCGCAGGGCCGUCAGCAUGUGGUGCAUGGCGACAUCCGGACUCAGAUUUCGGAUGCUCAUCGCCACUUUACUGAACCUAUCCACGAAGGCUCUCAGCGACUCUCCCUUCUCCUGCCGGAUGCCUACCAGGGCGAUUGAGGUCAGAUGGUGCGGCCGGCUGGUCGCGAACUGUGUUUCGAACUUUGCGAUGAGCGUGGCAAAGCCAUCUAUGGAGUUGGGUGAGAGCUUGGUGAACCAACUAAGGGCUGCACCCUUCAAGGAUGUGGGGAACACUCGGCACAAGACGGCGUCGUCCGAGGUGUAGAGACUCAUAUGGGUGGUGUAGGCGUCCAUAUNNNNNNNNNNNNNNNNNNNNNNNNNNNNNNNNNNNNNNNNNNNNNNNNNNNNNNNNNNNNNNNNNNNNNNNNNNNNNNNNNNNNNNNNNNNNNNNNNNNNCUAAAUAUGCAUAGAAAAAAAACUAUAAGAAAACACACUAGGGAACAGCCUUUUCCAGAGAGGGGUUCACAAAAGUCCUACAAAAUAAUUGUGUCAUUUCCUUUUAAAAAAGUCAUAUUCAGGUUCUUGAAGAAAAAAAAUAAUUAAAAUCCUUGUAGAACCAAACUUGGCUCACUAUAAAUACACCGUUGUUGACUUUUGUAAUCACAAAGUAUUUGUAACUGAUAGAUAUUGUUUUGUUAUACUGCAAAAUAUGUUAUGAAUUGAAAAAUUCAAUUCAAAAUUCCAUUUUAAAAAUCAUAAAAGCAAAAGAAAAAAAAAUAGUUUCCUACACCAAUGGGAAAAACUACUGAUUAACAAUGCAUUAUCCAAAUUUGGUUCAUUCAGUUUCUAGAUACAACUUAGAAAUUUUAAAAUUAAUGAGUUCUAGUUUGGAUUACCUCCUUCAUUCGUUUUUCUCUUUUACAGCAAGUACUUGAUGAGAAGUUAAUUCAAAUUAGUUCUUACCUGUGAAGAUUAUUUUUUCCUACUUUAUUGGCUAUGUUUGCUCAUGUACCUUGUUAUUGCAGGUAUCUCUUCUGCUACUCUUAUGCUGAUAAUGUAGCACCCAAAGGAAAAUUUAUCGCUUUNNNNNNNNNNNNNNNNNNNNNNNNNNNNNNNNNNNNNNNNNNNNNNNNNNNNNNNNNNNNNNNNNNNNNNNNNNNNNNNNNNNNNNNNNNNNNNNNNNNNCCUGUAAAUGAGAUAUUCUAUGACAUGUAUGACAGGUUUUAACCCUGCAAUGAUCAUGAGGUUGAUGGUUGUUUCAUCUCUACUGUAAGUAUUGAGUAGAAUCUCUCACAAGCAUAUUUUAUUUUCUUUGGUUGUUUCUUAUUUCCAAACCAUUACGGCACUUGAUUGGGUUAUCUAAAGCACAGUCAUACAAACACAUUACAAAGUUGCUUGUUUUAUUUAACUUUCGUAAAUAUCCAAAAGUCUAUCACUGAUGAAUAUGGUCAGGACAUGUUGCAAUAAAGAAGAAUCAAAUGUUAUUUUGGUUUAAAUAAAGUAAUGAACAUCUCAUGUUCUGUAAAUUUACAAUUAGAAUCCAACGGUUUUCCCUGGUGUCCUUCAUGAUAAGUAUGAAAUCUUAUUACACUUCUUUUUCAGCAUUUAGAUGGAAUUUCUUUCCUUGUAUUUUUAUUUUUUUUAAAAAUUGUAAUAAUCUGAAAUUAAAUCCUUGCAGAGUUAUGAUCCUACACACACUUUGAAAUCACAGUUAAAGACGUGGUCAGAUGUACAGUAAAAUCACUGGAAAGGUUUGUAUUUUUUACUUAAUAUGCAAUUUACAUUACAUAUCUCAUCGCAUACUAUGACAAUUACAGAGUUUGAGAAUAAGAAAUAAAUAAAAAACUGGUAUAGCAAAACGACUAGGCCAAGAAAUUGAUAGAUCUCUCUAUCUCUAAUUGACUAAACUUAUAAUUUUUACUUUCUUUUGAUAAAAGGUAUCUUUCAUUUAGACAAAAAAGCUUGUGCUUGGAAUUUAACACUGAUUUCGUUGUUUUUACUCCUUAUUUAUGGUAUUACAUUUUCAAAAAUAAAGCUAAAUUUUAACCACAAUAUAGAAUGGUUCCUGCACUUGUAGAUUUAACCUAAAAAGCAUGUAUAGUGUUACCUCAUAUAACAUAGAAUUUCUAUACCUUUAGAGAACCUGAUACAAUAAUUUAGGUACGAUCUUGGAAUUUCGCAUUUGCAUGCACAAAAACAUUUAAGCUCCUGAGGUUUGGAGCACGGCAUAUGUCCUGAUGAUAGGNNNNNNNNNNNNNNNNNNNNNNNNNNNNNNNNNNNNNNNNNNNNNNNNNNNNNNNNNNNNNNNNNNNNNNNNNNNNNNNNNNNNNNNNNNNNNNNNNNNNUUCCCCCAGCUUCUUUCUCAUAUCUUUGUUCUCCCUGCGGAGAACUUGCAGCUCUUGCUCAUUUUCUCUGAGCGGCCUCCUCGGCCUUUCUUCGCAUCUCGGCCAUCUCCCUCUGGAGAGACAGCAGCAGCAUUGUUUGGUCGGCUUCAGUCAUUCUUUUCAUGCUUCUUGUCGAAACCAUCUACUUUUUUCCUUCAGCUAGUUUCCCUCGGCCCCACGGUGGGCGCCAAUUGUUCCUGCUAGGGAGAUGGGACCUAGAGAACUAUUGAAGUCUUCUUCUCCUUCCUUCGGUCGGGCAGGUGGCUGGGUGAUGAACUGGGAUCCUUCUCGUCCUCCUGCUUAUCCUUCGGCACUCGGGACUCGGUCGUCGGGUGAACACCGGAUGGUGGGAGUACCUGCGAAGGCACUCCGACGCUCAAGUCAGUAAAGCGGGUGGUUAGCUCUCAGGUAGGUGAACAGUAAUAAUGACAUACCUUACUCCUUGAAAUGCGUGCUAUUUAUAUUAUUCUAGUGGGCCUACCUUGUUGGGCCCGUUUAUCGAGGUGGAUACCGCUUAGGGUUGCAUUACCUAAUUCUUGAUGAUGGAUUAGCUUCACUGAUCUCGGUUUGAGCGUUAAUUGUAAUGGGGUUCGGCCAUCGGCCAAAUUCCCGUGGCCUUCGGCCGUUUCAGUUGAGUCUUCAACGGUCUUGGUCGCACGGCCAAGUCUCCAAAAGGUCUCGGCCUCUCGGUCUCUCGGCCAAGUUUCCAAAAGGUCUCGGCCUCUCGGCCAAGCUUCCAAAGAUCUCGGCCACUCGGCCAAGUCUUCAAAGGUCUUGGUCGCACGGCCAAGUCUCCAAAAGGUCUCGGCCUCUCGGCCAAGUUUCCAAAAGGUCUCGGCCUCUCGGCCUCUUGGUCAGGUUGACUAGGCAUCGGGCAGCCUCGCCCAGUACCGAUACACUUUCAUUAUACAUAUGUUGUUUCAGUGGUUGUUUCAGUGAUUUGUGUUGUUGGUGUUGUGUGAUGUUGCAGUAGGCUAAGUUCUGUGUAUUAUAAUAAAUUACUGGAGCAAGGUUGUGAAAGUAUUAUUUUUCUUUGUGUGAUGAUGCAGUAGGCUAAGUUCUGUGUGUUGUAAUAAAUUACUGGAACAAGGUUGUGUAAGUAUUAUUUUUCUUUGGGCUUGUAUCUAAAAAAAUAUCUCUCUUUAUAGGGAUUUUAAUAUAUACAUCAAAAGUUUACACCACAAAGUCCUGAUCACAAAUCUAACUAUAUCACUAUGACCCUGAUCUAAUAAAGACUAAUUCUAAAGAUAAAAACCUCACAUGCAAACUUAACUACAAGACAACCCUAACCAAAUCAAAACUAACUCAAAGGAAAAUGAGUCAAGAAUGAACUUACUCUAUCUAAGAUUCUGAUCGGACAAUCACUACAAAAAACAGUGUAAAAAAUGACGGUUUUAUUAUGGCGGUUAUUAAUAACCGUCACAAUUUUCAAUAUAAUAUGGCAUUUGACUAACCGCCACAAUUAUCUUUGUAUAAUACGUCAUUUCAGUAUAAUAUGUCAUUUUUAACUGUCGCAAUUAUCCUUCCAAAAAAAAAAGUUCCCCAGUUUUUUCUCUCUAUACACCAUUUCUCAUUAUUCCUUUUUUUUAAAUUUGCUUUCACUUUAAAAUUGGAUUUUUUUUUAAAAACUUACUUUUCCUUUAAAAUAUAUAUAUUUUUUUUAAAUUUGGUUUGAGUUUGGAAACCAAACCCUAACACCUCUUCCCUCUCUCUGCUCCACACCCCUAAGCCUCUUCCCUUUCUCUGCUUCACACGAAACGAAACCCUAACGCCUUUUUCAUCUGGUUGCUCCACACAAAACCCUAACGCCUUUGUCCUCUCACGAAACCCUAACGCCUCUGUCCUCUCACGAAACCCUAAUGUCUUUGUCCUCUUACGAAACCCUAAUGCCUUUGUCCUCUCACGGAACUAACGCUCACUCUCGGGUCCGCCAUCGCCACCUCCGCGCAAGGAUUCAGGUUUGUGCUUGCGCACCCUAAACUCUAUGGCUUUGUUGCUGUGAUGAAUUUACUGUGUUACUGUGUUCAUGUGAUGGUAGGAAUUUGUUGUUGUGAGAAGAACUUGCAUCAAUUAACAUCUAAGUGGAUUAACCAACAUCCGAAAACAAAUCACUGAUCCAGGUAGUCCCUUAACAAUACAUCUUUGUUAAUUUUACUUCCCCGUGCUCUCAAAACCUUAAAUGUUUGCUACGAGAUCUUCUUUCAUCUAUGAGCCACAAGCUAUGGAGUAUGCAGAGCUCAUUAAAAUUAUUUGGAACCACACUGGACGUGGCAACUGGGCAAUGGAUUGAAUAUUCAUCAGGAAUUGGAGCUGGUAGGUUAAUUACUUAUGAAAUUUGUAUCAAGAGCUUUUAUUUUAACUUUGAAGUUUUUUUGGGAGACAUUUUAAAAUAGUUAAUUUUGUCCUUACUAGUUAUUCUGUUCUCUUUCAGUUUUUGUAACUUGAUCAUUACCUUAGUUUGUGAUGGUAGGAAUUUGUUGCUAUGAGAAGUAGUUCAGGGUCGGAGAAGAACUUACAUCAAUUAACAUCUAAGUGGAUUAACCAACAUCCGAAAACAAAUCACUGAUCCAGGUAGUCCCUUGACAAUACAUUUUUGUUAAUUUUACUUCCCCGUGCUCUCAAAACCUUAAAUGUCUGCUACGAGAUCUUCUUUCAUCUAUGAGCCACAAGCUAUGGAGUAUGCAGAGCUCAUUAAAAUUAUUUGGAACCACACUGGACGUGGCAACUGGGCAAUGGAUUGAAUAUUCAUCAGGAAUUGGAGCUGGUAGGUUAAUUACUUAUGAAAUUUGUAUCAAGAGCUUUUAUUUUAACUUUGAAGUUUUUUUGGAGUCAUUUUAAAAUAGUUAAUUUUGUCCUUACUAGUUAUUCUAUUCUCUUUCAGUUUUUGUAACUUGAUCAUUACAUUAGUUUGUGUUGCUCAACUCCUGAGACAUGCUAAAUAGAAGAAUCGACGAUAUACAGAGCAAAAUGCUAUUCAGUACUCUUCAAAUAUGGGUUAAGGAAGCAAAAGUAGAGAGUAUUUAAUCACAAACAUUAUAUUAAAAGAGAAAAAUCAAUUUGACUUACUUUUUAAGUAUCUAUAAGCCUUUAUUUGAAUGUAUACUAAAUGCUCCUUAACCNNNNNNNNNNNNNNNNNNNNNNNNNNNNNNNNNNNNNNNNNNNNNNNNNNNNNNNNNNNNNNNNNNNNNNNNNNNNNNNNNNNNNNNNNNNNNNNNNNNNUUCUUGAUCUUUCUGUGGACUUGAGUGCCGCAAGUGCUGCAGAUGAAGAAUGAGAUUGCUUGAAACUAUAUAAUCAUGCCCAAGUUUUGAAAGAAAAGCUUUAAUCUAUUUAAAUUUAUUUUUUAGAUGAUUUAAUGGGAAGUCAACACAUCCUUGUUCCUUUUGCUCGAUGGAAUUUGUAUGACCCAUUUAUGACAGCAUUUUUUAAUUCAGACAAGAAGUUUGAUAUAUAUUCUUUGAUGAAAUAUAUUUUUUAAUAUUAUUUUGUAUUGUUAAUACUUAAUUUAGACUUUUGUUUGUACUUUGAAUUUUAAGAACUUUAAAAAAGGUAUUAUAUUUUUAAGUUUAGUGUCUUGAAGUUGAAAUAUUUAAUAUACUUAAAUAUUUAUUAUUGUCUUUUAUUUUAUUUUAUUAUGAAAAAAUAGUGGUUAAAUUUUAUAAUUGUAUAAAACAGAUUAUAAAUAAAAAAAAUUAUAAAAAAGUGGUGGUUAAAUUUUAUAAUUGUAUAAAACAAAUUAUAAAAAUGAUUAUAAAAAAGUGGUGGUUAAAUUUUAUUUAUUCAGAAUUAAAAUUAUGUCAGUUAAAAACCGUCACUACUUACACUAUGUUUAAAGUGGCGGGUGUUGCGGCAGGUAGCGUAAAACCGCCACAUUAAACUUUGUGGCGGUCAGUUCUAUGGCGGUUUGGGAAACUGUCACAAGUGUAAAUUGUGACGGUUAUAAACGUCAGUUUAUACGAAAAUAACCGCCACAAUAUACACUUUUUUUUGUAGUGAAUCUCGUAGAGUUCACUGUCAGGAGUCCAAUGGCAGACUCUGAUCAUCAAACUGAUGAGCGAGCAGGUUAGAAUGAGCAGUCUUGUAGAUCUCGCUGCCAAGAGUCUAAUGAUGGAUUCUUAUCGUCAAACAGAUGAGCGAGGAAAAUUUCUAGAGAAAUGGUGGUUAUUUUAAAAUGAAACCUGAAUAACUAAUUUUCUAUUUAUAUAAUUUUUUCACUUUAAUAAUAAAAAAUUAUUAGGUGUUCAUUUUAAUUGUACCAUUUCUACUCUAGGACUAUCUAUUUUUUUUCGGUAUUUACAUUUAUCUUAUUAUCUUUAAUCAUAAAGGGACAGUGACAUAAAUUAUCAUCUUAUUAUCUUUAGUUAUUUCUGAUAAUCUUUUAAUAAAAUGAUGCUUUUUUUUUCGUGUCUUACCUACUUUAAUUCUUUUACAAAGUUAUUUUUGAUAAUCUUGAACCUUAUUUUUUCUAAUAAAAUAUUAUAUUAUAAUAAUAAUUUUUUUUUUAAUUUCUUAUCUAGUUCACUUCCUGAAUAUUAAGAAACAAAGUUUUGUUCUUUCUCAUAAAAUAUUAUAUUAUAAUAAAAACUGUGUUUUAAUAAAAUUGAGAAUUAAUUUGAAAGAAAAUAACAAAAUUUUCACUGGUACUGGUAGCCACAAUUGUUCACUAGUAGCCGCACUUGUUGACUUGAAAGAAAGUUGUGUGGCAAUUUUGUUUGUUUUUUUUGUUUUGUUUGAUGCACCUCCUUUAGUAAUUUUGUCUUUUGAAAAAUGUUUCUUUGACAUUCUUUAAAAAAAUAACAUUAAUCUAACAAUCAUUUUAAGAGAUAAUAAUGUAUAUUCAGAUUUUAAAUUAAAAAGUAAAAUAAAUAUUAUUAUUUAAGAGUGUAAAGUGGGUGUUUUUUAUUUUGAGGGUGUUAAACUAGUAAUCACCAAUAAUAAUUUAAAUAUUACAAUAUUAUUUAAUUAUAUUAGACUUUUAAAAUUACAUCACAACAAACAAAAUACCUCCAAUUAUUUAUGAUACAAAAAAUAGCUCCAAGUAUUCAUUAGCUUCAAUUAGUAUUUGGAUAAAGAUUAGCUAUACUGAUUUCUUUAUAAUAUAAAUAUUAUAAUGUAAGAUGAAUUUUAUAUAAAAAUAUAUCUGUCUUCUUGUGAAUUAAAUAUUUUUAAGUAUAAUUUUUUUCAACAAUAAAAUAACACUAAAAGGUACACAAAAUGGAGAAAGGUUAAAAUAAUAGUUGAUUAUCAUAAAAUACAUCAAUUACAUAAAUUAUUUAUGUUUAAAUCAUAGUUGAUUAUAUAUAAAUAUAAUAAAUUGUAUUUAAAUAAAUAUAAUAAUUUUUUAUUUAUAAAUUAUGAUAUAAUGAAUAAUUAAAUUAAAUAUUAUAAUAAUAAAAAUGACAAAUAUGCAGUAGGGCAGCUUUUGUGUUAUAAUAAAUUCAGUAUUUUUAUAUAGAAUAAUGUUUGUUUAUAUACUAUUUUUUAUAAAUUUUGAAAAUAAAAAUUCAACUUAUUUAAUGUCUUCAAAUUUUAAAUAUUGCCAGUUUUAUUUUAUUUAAUAAGUUGGAAUUGAUGUAAGAAAUUUAUAUUUAUGAAUCCCAAGACAGGUCAAUUUCCUUCGGUUUAUAUGGGAUUUAGUUCUGGGCCAAUUUUGGUUACUGAUAUCUCUCACAACACAAAUCAUAUAGCUUUUAGGCUUCUUCUUCCUGCACCCCCACGUUUUUCUUCCUGCACCCCCACAAUUUUAAAUAUUCCAACAUUAACUUUCAUCUAUAAUUUCAAAAGGGACUACCGGAUAUCGGGAUCCAGUAAUAUAUUCUGGAUUCAUGAAUCCAAAAUUGAUUAAAUUCUGUUUUCUGGAUGAGGGGGUGUUCCGGAAGGUAAAAGGUCAUAAAUUGUUGUUUUCCGGAGUACUGAAUCCGGAAGCUUAAAUGCAUUAUGGAUUGGUGGAUCUGGAAUUGUUUUUUUGUGUUAUGGAUCACUUGCAUUAUGGAUUUAUGAAUCCAGAAUUAUUUUGUGUUAUGGAUUUCUGAAUCCGGAAUGGUAUUUUUGAAUUAUGGAUUGUUGGAUCCAAAAUAAUGUUUUUGACUUAUGGAUUCAUGAAUCCGAAAUGCAAUGAUUUUGUUUCAUUUUUUUUUUAUUUGUAGAAGCAUUAACAGUAUUGAUGAAUUUGAACAAGAAUUAUAUGAUGGGGUUGAUCUGUGGGAUGAUGAUGAUAUUGAGAAGUCAUUAUCCAUGUUCUUCAUGUUUUUCAUCUUCAUUAACAUGUCUUCUUCUAACAGAGGUUGUGGGACGUAAACGAAGUUUUAUACAUUGAAGAAAUGAUGGCCAUAAAAACACAAAUCCGGAUCCACAAAUUCGGAAGCUUCUCGGAUCCACAAAUUCGGAAUCUUCCUGGAAACACAAAUCCGGGAUUUUACUAGAAGCAAAAAUUUGAGAUUUUACCGUAUUUUGUGAUCCAAAAUUCUAUCAGAUUCUAUAAUCUGGAAUGGAAGAAAACACUUAUGGAAACAAAAAUCCAUAAAAAAAAAACGGAUGUGCAGAUCCGAAAGCAAAGAAAUUUACUUACCUUUGUCAAGAACACUCUAAAUCACCAACAAAAAAUGUGAGAUUGAAGGAGAAGAAUUUGGAGGUGUCGCAUUGCUGCUAGAACAUGAAAGUGUGCUGCUGCUGGAAGAUGAAAGACACGGCUGCGCAAGAGAGCAUCUUUGUCUGCACCUCUUUAAGGUUUUUUUAGGUUAAGAAUAUUUUUAGAAUUUUAAAAACUAAUAAGGGCGAUUUAAUCUUUUCAUAAGAGUACAGAGGUGCAGGAAGAAAUUAUAUUUUAUAAUGUACAAUCCAACAAUAUAAAAAAUAUAUUAUGAACUGUAUAUAUUAUAAUAUACCAGGUGUAUUUUAGAUAUAAAUUUUGAAAUACAUCUUUUGUAUUUUAGAUUAUAAGUGUAUUUCGAAAUUAUAAUUCUAAAUAUAAAAAAUUAUUCUAAAAUGUAUAAUUUGAAAUAUAUAAUUUUUUAAAUAUUUUGAUAUUUUUUUAAAUUAUUUUUGAACGUAAUUAAUUUGUUUUAAGAAGUCAUUUUUUGUAUUUUAAAUAUAAAUAAUUUGUUUAAUACAUAUUUCUUUUUAACAGUAAUAAUAUUUAUAUAAAGUAAACAUACUAAAUGAUGAUAAUAACUAAUAUAUUUUUAUCAAAUUUUCUAUAUAAUAUUAUUGUUAAAUUUAAAAUACAAGAUCUAUAUAACUAAAAACUGUUUAAGAAGUAGAAACAUUAAAAAAUUAUGUAAAUAAUGAAGAUUUUAAUAUUAUGGUUUUUAAAUUUUUAGGCUUAUUUUGGUAAUCAAAGAUUUAACUUGUCUAGGUAAUUUGUUUACAACCUCAAUGAUGAAUUAUACGUCGAAUUUCAAUAUGAUUACGUUUUUUUUGUAUUAAUACUUGUAGUGGUAAAGUUCUUCUUUCUUUUCUCGUUAAAUGAGAGUGUUUUCUUCAUCAGGUUGUGUUAAAAUUAAUACUGAUGGGGUUGUUAAGGGUAUCCUAGUAUUGCUACUUGUGGAUGUAUUUUUCGUGGGAGUAUAUGAGAAUUUUUUGGUGUUUUAUCUUAGUUUCUUGAAGUUCAAACUGCUAUGGUUACUGAGUUUUAUGGAGUUAUAAAUGUUAUGGAGAAAACUCAAAAGAUGAGGCUUACUAAUAUCUGACUUGAAUGUGAUUCUCAUAUUUUUUUCGUUUCAUGAAGGGAAUGUGUGUGCUGAUAAGUUGACUAAUUUAGGAUUUAUUCAUAAAGAAUCAUUUAAUUAGUAUAAUUGGCCUUCAUAUGUUCUUAAAAUUAUUUAUGAAUAGGUAUAGUCUACCUAUGUAUCUUUUUGUUAACAUAUGAGUUUUGAUAUAGUUUUCCAUAUUUUUGUAUUUUCAUUCUUUUUUUUUAUUUUUUAACAAUACCAUGAUAUGUAAGUUGUAUAAUGAUACCUAUCAUGAAAUUUUUUAUAAAAAAAUUAAUAAAUUAUAAUAUUUAAAAGUUAUUGUAAUUAUUUAUAUAAUAUGAUAACAUUUCUCUUUUAAAAUGUCGUUUUAUGAAGUAUGCCCUCUAGUAUGUUUUUCUUCCAUACCAUUUCUAUUAUUAUUGGACAACCUCCUUCACAAUACAACUCUACUUGAUGAUAUAAAAUAAGGAUACUCAGAAUGUCAAAUAAGAUUUUAUCAUGUUUUUAAAAAAUUUAAAAUUCACAGCAACAAAAAAUUUAAGUGAGAAAAAUGAAAAAGAUAACUUAACAUUUUUUUUAUCACUACUAGUGUGCAUAGAAUUACACAAAAGACUCUUAUUUUAUUUUUUUAUUUUUUAUCAGUUACUUUUUUUUAAUUUAACUAUGGUUUUAUUUAAUUUAUCUUUUUCUUACAGAUAAAAAUAAAAUAAAUAAUUUAUAAUCUAGUUCCUUAAAAAAUUAUUGUCACUUAUUGUUUAUAUUAAAAUAAACAAUUAAAAAAUCAAAUAAAAAUAUUAAACUAAAGAAAAUAUAAAUAUCAUAAUGUUUUAUUUAUAUAUAAAUCACACCAUCUGCUCAUGAAGCAAUAAAGUUGAUAUUGUGAAAACUUUUUCUUUUAACUAACAAUAAAUUACACUUUACACUAGUAAUGUUGUUUGUCACUAAUAAUAUUUUAAUAAAAUGAUGUUUUUUAUCUUACCUACUUUAAUUCUUUCUUGAAGAAGACCUAUUUUCACAAAGUUAUUUAUGAUAAUCUUGAACCUUAUUUUUUUAUAAUAAAAUAAUUUUUUUUAAUUUCUUACCUAGUCCACUUCCUGAAUUUUAAGAAACAAAGUUUUGUUCUUUCUCAUAAAAUAUUAUAUUAUAAUAAAAACUGUGUUUUAAUAAAAUUGAGAAUUAAUUUUAAAGAAAAUAACAAAAUUUUCACUAGUAGCCGUACUUGUUCACUUGAAAGAAAGUUGUGUGGCAAUUUUGUUUUUUUUGUUUGAUGCACCUUCUUUAGUAAUUUUGUGUUUGAAAAAUCUUUCUUUGACAUUCUUUAAAAAAAAUAACAUUCAUCUAACAAUCAUUUUAAGAUAUAAUAAUGUAUAUUCAGAUUUUAAAUUAAAAAAUAAAAUAAAUAUUAUUAAAAUAUUAUUAUUUAAGAGUGUAAAGUGGGUUUUUUUAUUUUUAUUUUGAGGGUGUUAAACUAAUAAUCACCAAUAAUAAUUUAAAUAGUACAAUAUUAUUUAAUUAUAUUAUACUUUUAAAAUUGCAUCACAACAAACAAAAUACCUCCAAUUAUAAUAUAGAUAUUACAAAUGUAAGAUGAAUUUUAUAUAAAAAUAUAUCCGUCUUCUUGUGAAUUAAAUAUUUUUAAAUAUAUACAUUUUUUUCAACAAUAAAAUAACACUGAAAGGUACAAACAAUUGAGAAAGAAAGUUUUAAAUUUAAAACAUAGUUGAUUAUCAUCAAUUACAUAAAUUAAUUAUGUUUAAAUCAUAGUUGAUUAUAUAUAAAUAUAAUUAAUUAUAUUUAAAUAAAUAAAAUAAUUUUUUAUUUUAAAAUUAUGAUCUAAUAAAUAAUUAAAAUAAAUAUUAUUAUAAUAAAAAUGACAAAUAUACAGUAGGGCAACUUUUGUGUGUUAUAAUAGAUUCAGUAUUUUUAUAUAGAAUAAUGUUUGUUUAUAUACUAUUUUUUAUAAAUUUUGUACAUAAAAAGUCAACUUAUUUAAUGUCUUCAAAUUUUAAAUAUUUCCUAUUUUAUUUUAUUUUAUUUAAUAAGUUGGAAUUGAUGUAAAAAAAUUAUAUUUAUGAAUCCCAGGUCAACUUCAGUUUAUGUGGGAUUUAAUUCUGGGUCAAUUUUGGUUACUGAUAUCUCUCACAAAACGGUUUCUUGCAUUCUUCUAACAAAUGUAUUUCUCUAAUCUAUCCUUUUUUAAGAAGACUAUUUUAUCCCUUUUAAAAGUGAUUUUUAGAUUAACUUUUCUUGAAAUAUUUUUAGAACAUAUUUUUUGGAAUACAUUUUGUGAAUUAUAGAUUUAUCAAUAAUAAUAAAAAUGUUCUAAAAGAUAUUUUAGUAUAACUUUUUGUCUUUUAGAUUUUUUAUUCUGAAAACACCUUCUGUUUAUAAAAUUUCAAUUCUUGGGAACACUUUUGCUUAUAGAAUUCUUAUUCCCAAAUCACCCAAAACAUAAAUUCGGUAUUUUGGGCUAUUUGCUCUUUUUUUUCUUGUGAGUUACUUCUACAUCCAAUAAUUUAAAACGAAACUCCUACAUAAUUUAAAAAUUUGUUUUUCUCAUCUUAAAAUUAUAUUUUAUAAUGUACAAUCCAACAGUAUAAAAAAUAUAUUGUGAACUGUAUAUAUUAUAAUAUAUCAGAUGUAUUUUAGAUUAUAAAUUUUGAAAUACAUCUUUUGUAUUUUAGUAUUUUAGAUUAUAAGUGUAUUUCGAAAUGUAUAAUUCUAAAUAUAAAAAAAAUAUUUUAAAAUGUAUAAUUUGAUAUAUACCAUUUUUAGAUUUUUUUUAAUAUUUUGAUAUUUUUAUAAUUAUUUUUUAACGUCACUAAUUUAUUUUAAGAAGUUAUUUUUAUAUUUUAAACAUAAAUAAUUUUUUUUUAUACAUAUUUCUUUUUAAUAGUAAUAAUAUUCAUUAAAGUAAACAUAAUAAAUGAUGAUAAUAUUUAAUAUAUUAUGAUCAAUUUCUUUUUUAUAAUAUCAUUGUUAAAUUUAAAAUUCAAAAUCUAUGUAAUUGAAAAACUGUCUAAAAAGUAUAAUCAUUAGAAAAAAAAUAUGUAAGUUGCGAAGGUUUUAAUAUUAUGGUGGUUUUAUGAAGUAUUUCUCCUUCAAAAUGUCCUUUUAUGAUGCGUUUUUCCUCUAUACCAUUUCUAUUUUUUUUUAAAGAGUAUUUUUUACCAAUUAUCUCCACAUUCCUCUUUCUCAAAAAUAAUUUUUCUUUGACCCUUUUAUCAUUUUUUUCUCUUUGAAAAUUUCACUAUUCUGAAAAUAUAGUUUCUUAAGAAAAUUUACAGCAAAACUUGUUAUGAUUUCACUUCUGUGCAUAUUCAACAUGGAUGUCCUUCGCAAUUUUGUAAGCAUGUGUUAGUAGCAAGUGGUGUUUAUAAUUUCCUAUAUGACAACAUUAUGUGCAUAAUCUUAUUCUAACUAGUUUAUACAUUCUAGUAUUUUCUUGAUAAACUACUUGUGUUUUGUCUCUAUUGAUGAUAAUAGUAUAUUCACGUCUAAGAUGAUUAUAUAUUAUAUGUUUUAGAAGUGCAUUAUGGUUGUUUUGAGAGAAUGAUUAUGUUAUAUGUUGUGUUAUGUUGACAUCUUGGUUAAAAUCAUGUUAAAUGUGAUUUUUUUUUAUUAUAUGUCUAAUUUAAUAAUAAUAAAUUAAUUUGAAAUAAAAUGAGUAUUAUUGUUUACAGAUUUAAAUUAAGUACUAUUUUGAAGGAAUGAAAUUGAAUAUUUAAUGGUCAAAAUAGUUGCUAAGAAAAAUAUUUUAUAUUCUACAUCUUUCUUCCCUAAGUAAUAAAUUUAUUAUUUAUUUCAAUUCUAAAAUAAAAUAUGAAAUAUUUAGUCAUAUUUAUAUAAAUAAAUUAUGACAUUUCCUUAAAAUUAUGAUGCAAGUUAAUAAUACGUUAUCUUAUACAAUUUCGUCAUUUAUGUUUACUGAUUAGGUAAGACAUGCAUGAAUUUUAUUUUGAAAAAUCUUAUCCAAGUCUGAUUUGAAACUGAAUUGAAAUUAAACCAAAUCCAUAUUUUUUAAAAAAAAAACUAAUUUGGAUUUUAUAUAAUUAAAUCUAAAUAAUUGAAUUGUACUCUAUUUUAAAUCCAUAUUUUCUAAAAUAAAGUUUGAAUGUUUAUAGUUUGAUACAUCCAAGUUUAAAAUUAUAUAUUAUUUUUCAACCAAAAAAUGAAAAAUUUUGUUGUCAUAGAUAAAUUGGAUUAUAUCCUUUAAGACUAAAAUGAAACCUAACAUUAUAUGUAAAUUAUCUAGAAAACAUUUAAGAUCAUCCUUACCAACUUAAAAUAAAACAAAAGUAAAAGCUUUGAUGACUUCUUACUACCAAAUGCACGCGUUAUCAGACGAUGUAAUAAUGUGUCCCUAAAGACGUAUAUAGAAUCCAAAAGGAACAGUUGAAUAUUCAAGUAAAAAAUUUGCUAAAUAUAAAAACAGAAUAAUGAAAUUGUUAUGAUGACAACAAUUAAGAAGAAAACAAAUCAAAGAGUUUUUGCUUCAAUUGGAAGAAUAGGGAUUGAGUUUGAUCUUUUUCACUCUUGUGUAUUUUGAUUAACAUUAUAACAUUUUGCUUAUUUUAUUGUUAUUGAUGCUCGUAUAAAAUUCAUUAUAUUGAUUACUCGCAUAUAAAAUUCUUAAAAUGUUUCCUAAAUAUCGAUUUCUCGCAUAUUUAUCAAAAAAAACUCAGUAUCAAGUUAGGUUGAUAACAAUUAACAUUUCAAAUCUAUUUCUAGCCCUCAAAAGCACGAAGUAUUCAUGUAUUAAUGUUUAGGUCAGAAUCAUAAAAAUACUUUCUAGACAGAUUUUAGAUUUUAGAUCAAUGCAUUAGGAGCAAAACAAUAAGACCAAUAAUCAAUGAAGAACAUAAUAAUAAUCAAUGCAUUAGGAGCCACACAUCUUCUAACACCUUCUAUUCUCUCAAUUGGGUUACAAGUUACUCAAUGAUGUUUUCCUCUCAAUCUUGCCCGCUAGGGUUGAGUCACAAACCCUAUAUUUAACCUAAUUUGCUAGGGUUAGGUGACUUCUUGCAUCGCAGUGAUUGACUCAUUUGAAACAUAAAAGGCCCAAUAUCUCUAGCAUUAUCUCGCUCAAGCGAGAUAUAGCUCACUUGAGCGAGAAAUGCGUCCAUUUUUUCCAAUGCCUUUGGAGCAUUCUCGCUCAAUCGAGAAUGAGCUCUCUGAGUGAGAUGCUUUGAUGCUGAGUUGCGCUUUUUGUGCUUUUGUGCGUUCGGGGCAUUCCAACUUUCUUCUUUUAGCUUAUAUUAUUUCUUUUAGCCUAGUUAUCUUCAUUUUUCCCUAAAAACCUGAAAUUAACACCAAAUUGGGAAACAAACGUUCUUAUUCAAAUAAAGAUCAUAAAAUAUGUAAAAAAAUGUAUAAAUUCAUAAAUUAUGGAUUAUUUUAUAUAUAAUUUAGCAAUUAAUACUCAUAAGUGUAUGUAUUUUAAUAUGAAAUAUUACUGAAACUAGACACUUAUCAAGCUUCUAAAGUAAAUAUAUUUGUUUUAUUUUCCUAGUCAUAAUUAAGUAUAUGUAAUUAGAGUGUAAAAUUUCAAUUAUUAUGAAAAUCCACACCUUUUAAAUAUGAUUCACAAAAGUAAAUUAACUUAAGUAUUCGAAUUAAUGCAUAGUACAACAAAAUAAAUAAAUAAAGUUAGGAAAUAAAAUGAAUGAAUAUUCAUAAUAGGAUUUUAAUCAAGUCCAUCAUAUCUUUAAUACUUUAAAUCACCAAUUUUUAUUAAUUAGUUUUUCUUUUUCUGUUGCAAGACAAAUAACUUCACCCAUCAUUUCCUAAAUUGAACUUCAUUGUAGUCCCAAGAGCCAAAUAAUAUGUAGAAUUUGACAUUUUAUAUCCAAAAUAAUAUUUAAUUUCAUACAUACCUCUUUUAUGCUAUUAAUUUGCAAUCACUUGACUUAGAUCUUAACAUUGACUCAUUUUGUAUAAUUCUAUAAAAUAUUCUUUAAAUAAUUAUUAAUUUAGUAUAAUCCUGAUUUAUUAUUUAUUCCAUUUAAAUUAUAUCAACUAAAUAAAGAAAAUGAAAGAAUACAUUCUUCAUAAAUUUUCCUUAAAUUCAUUUUUAUCUAUUACAUCAUCAUUAAUUAAUAAGUUAGAUUUGUGACAAGAGUUAGAUAUAGAAACUGACUAUGAUCCUAAAAGUUUAAAUUAAAUAAUCCUAAUUGUUUUGGAUUCACAACUAACAUAAAAAUUUAAACUAAAAUAGUUCUCUGAAGAAAUAUUAUAUUUCCUAUUAUAGGCUUAAUCUUUGCUUGUGCUAGGAUAAUUAUUGUGGUCUUUGAAUUAUGUCUUUCCAAUUAGUUAAAAAUGUUGUUGCAUAGGUAUCUCACAACCAAUUAUCCCACUUAUACAUUAAGAAAUAGUCAACCAAUUAUCUAAUAGACCAUCUAACAAGAAGACUAGAGUAAACAACAAUAAGAAUAUUGAGACAUCAACACAUAAGAAUUUAUCUUAGUUCAUCUGCAUCAAGUUUUCUUAAGCAACUGCUUAAUAACUUCCACUAACUAAAUCACUUGGUUACAACAAGUAUUCUUACCUUUUCGAGUUACAAUGAGUUUUAUCACAUCUUUAAAUUACAACAAACAUUUGCAUAUCUUCAAGUUACAAUGAGUAUUCGCAUCUUUUUAGGUUACACCUUCUAAACAUUUCCUUAAGAUUAAGAAUUCUCAAGAAAACAAAGAACACUCUCAAAAGAUAGCACAAACAAAGUUCACAAGUGUAUAGUUUCACACUGUGAAGAAUUACAAUGGUUUUAACACUCAACUCAAUAGACUAGACACUCUAACGGUUUGACUAAAGCUCAUUAGCUCUUGUAUUUUCAGCGUGAUUACUUGUAUAGCUUUUAUUCCUUCACUUACCAUUCUUUUGUUCUUUACCUUCAAUCACUUUAUAUAGCUUUUGAAAUUUGUCCUUUGAUAUUUGAAUUGGUUAAUUUUAAAUUUUGUAAUAUCUUCACAUCUUCAUCUUUUUGGUGCUAGACACUCAAAACAAAAAUCUUGAAUUUGCAAUCUUUUAAUUUGUUUUUGCUUUGAAUUUCUUUAAGAAACUAAUUCAAUAGUAUUUGCAACAUGGUUUAGUAAAAACAAAAUCAGAAAAUAUUUUUGCUAAAGAGAGAGUACUUUGAGAUUUUCAAUUUUUUUUCCUUUUUAAAAAAUAAUAUUUAGAGAUAUUCAUAAUAUAUCACAACUGAUUAAACUUGUCUAAGCAAGAUAUUUUUGAAAGAGAUAAUAAAGAUAUUUUUGUUUCCUAAAAACAUGUUAAUAUCUUAUUCCACAAAACUUGGAGAAUAAAAUCUUUUUUAUAUAUAAUAUCUCGUAGGUUGAACGCGCUUUUAGUACAUAUAUGGACUUAAAAGAUUUCAUUUUUCAUAAUUGACUGUUUUAAACAAACAUGUUACAUGUUCAACAUGUUCGUCAAACAGUCUAACACGAACUAAAUUGUAGAUGCUCAAUUGUUUAUUAUAUGUUACAGCUUUCACUAACAACAGUUAGAUCAUUUAAAUCAGAGAUAAAACAUAUCAUUCAAAUCACAAAUAAGAUAUUCAAUCUGAAUUUUGUUAUAUAUGUAAUAAACUACUCUUAUUAUAUCGUUUAUCAUGAAUACAUGGUGUAGGCACUUAGAGGAUCUACUGAAAGUUGUCAAUGUAGAAACAUUGUUUAGAACAUUCAAGAUAGAAGUGUCAGUUAGUUUUUAUUAUCAUAAAAACAUAAACUUUACUUAUAAUUUUCUAAUGUCUCAAAGUCUCAAUAUACCGUCUAAUGCAAUAGCAAUUUCUUCAAACUAUAUACCAAUUGCACUAAAAAAAAAUUGUAGAAAUAUUUACAUACCUCGUAUUGUCCUUGAUUCUUGAGGAUUUAACAUAACAAAUAUCAUUUCAAUCUACAAAUAUAUGUAAUCAUAAGUAGAUGUGCAUUAGGUAUAAAUAGUUAGAUUUUAAUUAUAAGUACAUAUGAUUGAAAUAUCAUACUCAACGUGUUAGUAAUGUUGUUUGUCUUUAUGCAUAUAGGAAUGUUGUUUGUCUUUAUGCAUAUAGGGGAGGUGAUAAGCAACAUUACAACAACAUUUCAAAUUACUUAAAAUGUCAAAUAAGAUUUUAUAAUGUUUCUAAUUUUUUUUUUAAAUUGACACCAACAAAAGAUUUAGUGAGAAAAAUGAAAAGAAUAACUUAACAAAUGGAUUAGAGGUUUUUUUAUCACUAAAAUAUUCUUAUCUUAUUUGUGUAUUUUUUUCAUAGAUCGAAUUUGAUCAUAGAUAGAUUUUUAUAAUUUACUAUAACCCAUUAUAUUGACUUAGUUCGUUAUUGUCACUGGUAUUGUUUAUAGUAAAAUAAAUAAUUCAAAAAAUCAAAUAAAAAAAGAAAGAAAAUAUAAAUAUCAUAAUAUUUUAUUUAUAUAUAAAAAUCACAUCAAUUAUUAGUUGUUGUGUGUUGUAAAUAAACAUGAACCUUUAUUGUGUGUUUGGACUAUGGAAGAAAGUGUGAGGAUUUGAAUAAGUGAAUUUUGAGUGAUUUGAGAGAAAAUCUUGAAGAAAGUUAGGUUCUUUGAAUUAAGGUAUAUAAACUGAAUUUGUAAGAAAAGUUUAUUAAAAUUUUGUGAGUGAUGUGAUGGGUGUGGGAGAAUUUUUAAUUUUUGUAAAAUAUUAGAAUGUAAGUUUACAAAUUUAUUCUAAUUUUUAAAAAUGAAUUUUUUUAAAAAAAAUUUAGUUAAUUAAAAAUUUGUAUACUUAUUUUUAUAUAUUAUAAAUAAUUUUUUAUUAUGAUUAGUUAUUUUUAUUUAUUUUUAUUAAUAAUAUUAUUAAAUAAAUUUAUUGCUUAAAUUUAUUUAAUAUUUAAUAUUUUUAUUUUUAUUAUAGAUACAUAUAAAAAUAUGCUUAUAAAAUUAAAAAUAAAAAUUAUUGAUAAUAUUAUUAUUUAAUAAAUUUAUUUUAAUUAUUAUUAAAUUUGUAAUUUAUAGUUUUUAUUAUUAUUUUUAAAAAUUCUUUUAAUUACUAUUAUUAUUUAUAAUUUUAUUACUUUGUAUAUAUUAUUACUAUUUUAAGUUUACGUAUAUUAUUAUUAUUAUUUUAUAAUUUUGUAUUAUUAAUUUAUUUUCUUUUAUUAUUAUUUUAUAAAUACGUUUAAACUAUUAUAAAAUACAUUUAAUUAUUAUAUAAAUACAUUUAUAUUAUUAUUAUAUAAAUAUAUUAUUUUAUUAUUAUUAGAUUAUAUUACAUAAGUUUUUUCAAAAUUCUUUGGUUUGAUUUUCUUCGUAUUGUUGUAUUGUUGCAUGGUGCUAUUUUUAUCUUCUCCCGCAAAUCAGCUUUUUUUUCUUCGUAUUGUUGCAUGUGCUAGGUUUCAUUUUUCACAUUUAAUUGGAAACAAAGUCAAAUCGGUGCCAUAUGAGAAUAGAAUCACUUUACAACCCUAAAUCUUAAAUCAUAAACCCUAAAAUAAUAAUAAUAAUAAUAAUAAUAAUAAUAAUAAUAAUAAUAAUAAUAAUAAUAAUAAUAAUAAUAAUAAUAAUGAUAAUAAUAAUAAUAAUAAUAAUGAUAAUGAUGGAUAAUGACAUGAUGAAUGGAUCUUUAAUUCUCUAAUAAUAAUAAUAAUAAUAAUAAUAAUAAUAAUAAUAAUAAUGAUGGUGGUGGAUAAUGACAUGAGGAAUGGAUCUUUAAUUCUCUCUAAUGGCAUCGUCAUAAACUUCAACCAACCCACCUCAAUUCUUGAAGAAGUUCUAUUUUCCACAAGGGCUUGACAUUUGAGACUUUCUAAUGGCACUGACAUAAAGUUAUUUCUGAUUUUAACCUUGUUUUUUCUAAUAAAUAUUAUAUUAUACUAAAAUAAUGAUUUUUUAGUUUCUUUCCUAGUUCAGUUCCUGAAUUUUAAGAUACAAAGUUUUAUUUUUUUCAUAAAAUAUUAUAUUAAAAAAUAACAUUAAUUUAACAAACCGUUUUAAAAUAUGAUAUGUAUAUUAGAAUUUUAAAUUAAAAAAUAAAACAAAUACUAUUAAAAUAUUAUUAUCUAAGAGUAUAUAUUACUAUUUACAUUUUUAUUUCCCCAUCUAGCACCUUUUUAUUUUUAUUUUCCUAUCUAGUACCAUUUUUAAUGUUUAAAAUAGUUAAUGAAUAAAGAAAUGAGUUUUUACAAAAUAAAAAUAAAAAAGUAAUAAAUUAAAAAUGUUUAGUUUAAUUUUUUUAAGAAUGAAGAAAAUAAAAAAAUUAACCCUACAAAAAUAUAAAAAUUGAAUUUAUAAACAUAAAUUGGUAUUUAUUUUUAUUAUUAUUGAUGAUGUAAUCAUGUUAAUUUUUUUCAAGUAAUAAUAUUGAAGAGUAUUGACCUGCAUACACUGGUCAAAUACUAUGCUCAUGAAAAGAACUUCAAAGGGGAGACCUAAGUCAAGUCGAAUAAGACUGAUAUGGACAUAAGAAAACAACAUGAUCGAACAAAAUAAUGUUCAUAUUGUCAAACACUAGACACACAAAAAGAACGUGGCCCAACAUUACUCGAUCGUCAAUGAAUGAUCAUCUCUCAUUUAUUUUCCUUUUAUGUUCAACAUAUACUUAUUUAGUAUCGUUUUAUAUCUCUUAUCUUUAUCUGGUUUUGUUUUGUUUUUAUUUUAUUUUUAAUAUCUUUUAUCUUUAUCUUAUUUUUUUUUUGCCUUUAUUUUAUAUCUUUUAUGUUUUUAGUUAUUAUUAUUUUUUCUGCCAUUCUUUAUUUAUUUCUAUUUUUUGUUUUUAUUUUUAUUGUUGCUGUUUUUAUUUUCUAUAUUUAUUUAUUUUUGCAUUUUUUUUUCUUCUCAUUUUUAUGCAUUAAGUAAAACAUUUGCAUUAAUUUUUUUUAGGGUUUUGCAUUAGGGUAGACACUUCAAUAUUAUCUGUGUUCACUACUAAUUAAUAAUAAUUGACUUUGGUUUUUUUUAUAAUUAUAUCCUGUAUUUUUUACUUGAAAUUAACAUGAUUACAUCAUCAAUAAUAAUAAAAAUAAAUACUAGUUUUCGUUUGUAGAUUCAACUUUUAUGUUGUUAUAGGGUUUUAUUUUUUAUUUUCUUCAUUCUUAAAAAAAUUAAACUAAACAUUUUUAAUUUAUUACUUUUUUAUUUUUAUUUUAUAAAAAAUUAUUUUUUUAUUCAUUAAUUAUAUUUAUAACUAUUUUAAACAUUAAAAAUAUUUAUUUUUUUAAUGUAUUUAGAAUUAAAAUUAUAUUUUUUUUAGUUUAUUAAUUUUUUUAUAUUUUUUUUACUUUUAAAAUGAUAUUAGAUAAAAAAAUAAAAACAAAAUGGUGUUAUAUAAAAAAAUAAAAAUAAAAGGAUGAUAAAUAAAAAAAAUAAAAAUAAAAAGGUGAUAAAUGAGAAAAUAAAAGUGUAAAUAACGGUGGAAAGUGACUUUUUGAGGAUAUUAAACUAAUAAUCAUACAAACAAAUGGCAAAGUUGUUGGACAGUGUAAGAGAUGUUGAUUUCUCUGCAUACACAAAAGUCAUGUCUGCAUUGCAGAUACAUGCAAAGUCUGUCCCGUCUACAUUUAAUUUUGAACAUAGAAUUCUUAACACAUUGAUACUUAUAAAUAGAGCGCUCUUCCUACAGAGCUCUAAAAAUAUUACCAUCUGUAAAGAAAAAUUUGGGAAGUGUAGAAAUGUGUGGGAGUGACAAAAAGAGGGUUUGUUCUUGUUCAUGUUCAAAGAAGAAGAAGAAGAUGAAGCAUGAAAAAAUACCUCUUCCUGAUCUCAAUUACCCUCCUCCUCCGGAUGACCACCACCGACAUUCAUCAUCAUCUUCUUCUCCUCCUCCUCCCAAUUACGAUAAGGUUCCACACUUCUCUCUGUAAAUAUAUGCCAUGUUUUCAUCUUACUUAGAUUCCAUUCAUUACUUAAUUAUAUCAGCUUCAGCUUCUGGGAGCUGCUCGUCAACACAGUCCUGCUGCUGCUGCUGCCUCUAGGAAGCGUAAAAUGGAAGAGAGUGAGAGUAGCUCUCACUGGAUCAAAGCAUGCUGGAACAAGAUCAUGAAUCAUAUAACAUCCAAUCCCAACAAGAAGAAGAGGGAUGAGCCAGCAAAGGAAGAAGAAGGAUGAGCUAGCACAAUAACUCUCUCAUUAUGCAUGUUGUUUCAGUAAUCGUUUCGUUCUUUCGUUUGUUUCCUUGGUGUUGUGUGUGAUGUUGCAGUAGGCAAAGUUGCUGUGUGUUAUAAUAAAUGCAGUGUUUUUAUAUACUCUCCUUUUAUAACUAUUUGUUAAGACUUUAUUGACUUUGUUGUGGGGCAAAUAUAUUAAAUAAAACUCAUCUUCAGUUUAUACUGGAGCAAGCAGAUUAUCUCAUAUCAAUUUUAUUGCUUUUAGUUUUGGUCUGUUUACUUUUUUCUUUUUUUUCUUGGGAGUUACUUUCUGCAUCCAAUAAUUUAAAACCAAACUUCUAUAUAAUUUGAAAAAUUCAUUUUUAUUAUUUUUAAAUUAUAUUCCAUAAUAUAUAAUACAAAAUAUAAUAAAAAAUAUAUUUUGGGUUGUAUAUAUCAGAAAAAAAAAAUUGUAUAUUUUAGAUUAUACAUCUUAAAAUAUAACUUUUUUAUUUUAGAUUGUAUUUCGGUAUGUUUCGAAAUGUACAAAUUGAAAUCUAAAAAAAUUUACUAAAAUUUAUAAUUUGAAAUAUAUUUUUUUUAGUUUUUUUAUAUUUUUUAUAAUUAAUUUUGAAAUGUAAUUAAUUUAUUUUAAAUAGUAUUUUUUUGUAUUUUAAACAUAAAUAAUUUGUUUAAUACAAAUAUUUUUUUUAAAUCAUAUAUAAUAUCUAAUAUAUUAAUGAUACAUAUUUUUACAAUAUCUUGGUAAAUUUAAAUACAAAAUUAAUGUAUAUUGGAAAACUUUUUAAGAAAGCGGUCCUCCUUGACGAUAAAAGAUGAAUUCCUCGUUGGAUCCAAUUUGUUGAACGAUUAUGAAGCUUUGAACAUCUGCCACUGCAAGAUGUUGACGAUGAUCAUCGUUGCGCUCAUCACGGCCAUGCUUUUUGGAUUCUGCAUUGCUCCAGUCAACGGCAGACGGAGGAGGAACAGAGCCGUCGGGUUCUUCCAUCCGUACACUAACGACGGCGGCGGCGGGGAGAGGGUGCUCUGGUGCGCCGUCAGAGGCAUCCAAGAGGAGAUCCCUGACCUUGACUGCUAUAUCUACACCGGCGAUCAUGACGCCACCCCUCAAUCGCUGAUGGCUCGAGCCCUCGAUCGCUUUGGGGUCACGCUCCUCUCUCCUCCAAAGGUACCUUCUUUUCUUAAUCUCUUAUCUGGGUUCUUAUUUUUUUCUGUUUUUGGAUUGUGGGGUUUUGUUCAUCUUUCGUUUUCAUUGUGACUUCGUAUAAUUUGAAGUGGGUUUUUCAGUUGUAGUAACGAUGAGAGAGUGGAAUAUUAUAGAAUGCUUUUCUGGGUUCGUAAGUGUAUACUUUGUGUAUUUUAGCAUAUUACUCAACCGUGGUUGUUAUUUUAUCUUUCAACUACUCCUCUUGUUGGUUCGGUUAUUACUGCACUCAUAACUCAUGAAUUUAAUGUACUUUAUUUUCUGCUAGAGAAUGAGUGGAUUAGGAUCAAUGGAUCUAAUUUUCCUUCUAUAAGCUCAGGUGAAGCAUUGAGUUUACUUCAAAGUCUUCACAACAUUGAUGAUGUAUUCUAUUUUGUUGGGUGGAUCAAACAACAGGACUUUCCCUAGUAUCACGACCGCAGCAAAGAAUUCUGAAGUAGUUUGGGGUUUAGGUGGAAGGAAAAUUAUGGGAAUAGAUUUGGUAAGCGUGUGGAUAAAGGGUUUGUCUGGGAUAGUCCAUCGUGGUCCCGUGGAUUAGAAAUAUGAAGUGAUCAGAGCUGUACUCUUGGAAGAAUGACUCAAAGAGGUGUUCUGUUUUAGUACAGUGGUGGACCAGAAGAUAUUUUAUGAAUGAACUGAACUAUGUUCAAAUUUACAUAGACGUUCUGUUUUUAUAUUCCCAGGUGAUUCUAGAAUUGUCUGGAGCCUCACGUUGCUCAAUCAAGCAUUUAUUGUUUUGCUAAAGUACCUAAAACACCAAUGAUGUAGAUUCUAAGGCUCAACUAUUUAAGCUCUCAGUUUACAAAUAAGGGCCUGAUUAUCUGGAAAAAAUAAAACAAGAGAGGCCAUUCCUGACAGCUUUGCUUGUUGUUGGACUAUUUUGAUGAUAGAAAAUACGGAAUACUGAAAGCCAAUACUCUUUAUUUACAACCAUAAGUUGCAAACUGAUCUCAGACCUUUGGCUCUUCUUGAACUGUAUUCCUCACUUUUAGGUGGAAGUGAGCCAGAGAAAGGCUGUAAAACAUGGAAUUGCUUGCUUAGCAGGUUUAGCAGACGAUAGGAAGGAGGGGAUGAGGGAUGAUUUAGCCAUGGAAUAAGAUAAUGUGAUGAUUAUAUAAAAUAAACUUAUAUUGUUGUAAUGGUAUGGUAAGCAGCAUUUAAUUUUUUGGCACCAAUUGUGCAAGAAUAUACUUGAUUUGUUUAAAAGCUUAAACCUGUUUAUCUUGUUAUCCUGGUUUUCAGGUGGUUCAUUUGUACAAGAGAAACUGGAUCGAAGAAACCACUUAUCCGCACUUUGCAAUGAUUGGUCAAAGCUUACUCCUUUAUAUUACUUUGACACAAGUGGAUAUGCUUUUACAUAUCCAUUUGCCUGGUUGUUUGGAUGUAAAGUUAUUUGCUAUACACCUUAUCCUACAAUCAGUUCAGACAUGCCAUCUCGUGUUCGUGAGCGCAGCUUGAUGUAUAAUAAUGAUGCCUUAAUUACAAAUAAGGUUUGACUUCUUCUAACUAUCGGAUUUGUACAUUUUGUUGCCACUUAUAGUCUAGUCAUACUUCACAAGCUUUCCUCACCUGUUAAAUGAUAUCAGUUAUGUCAUUUCAAUAUGCAAUAAAUUUGAAUAUUAUUCCCUAUCCAAUUUGUUUUGCGCCCAAGGUUAGAAGGGAAUCAAUCAUUUUAAAAGUAUUUUGGUAUAGAAAUUGGUAAAGUUGAAGCUUUUUCAUGUGAAUGGUCACCUUGGCAUGCUUCCCCAUACCCUUCAGUGCAUACACCCUUCUAUGCUAUAAUUUGCAUUAAAUUCACACUCUAUUUUGUCUCUUUCAUGUUUUAAGUAAUCUAACAGUUGUUUUUCUUUUCUUGCAGUGUUUGGCUUUCAAGAUGCAAGAUAGUCUAUUAUACAUUCUUCAGCUGCUUGUAUGGGAUUGCAGGAUCAUGUGCAGACCUGGCUAUGGUCAAUUCAUCUUGGACCAAAUCCCAUAUUGAAAAUCUUUGGAGAGUUCCAGAUUGUAUUAAGCGAGUUUAUCCUCCUUGUGAUACUUCUGGACUCCAGGUUUGCAAUUUGUUAUUUAUAGUCCUAGAAACGUUAUUAUAUUAUCUAGUUCAUGUUUUGCUUAUUUCUUUGGGUUGGGUGGAUAGCUUUCCUAUAUUGCUUGUUACUUUGUGGCACUGAAGUCUGUUAUGGUCUGUUUCUUCUAUGUUUCCUCCUGGUGUAGUAUGUGUAUCUUUACCAAAUGUUUAAAACAUGAAUUUAAUGUCAAGUCUCAAUACGAGGAUGAUACUAUGUGUGUUUGUGGUCUUUUUUACAUAGUUUGGUAAUCACCAAGGAAUUCUAACAGGUGAGCAAUAUAAACAGGUACUUCCCUUGGAAAGAUCAACAGAAAUUCCUGUAAUAAUAUCUGUUGCACAAUUUCGACCGGAGAAGGUGGGCAUAUUCCUAUCAAUCCUGUGAACAAAAGGUACAACCUUUUUAUGUGGCUCGUUUGAGCCUUUGUUGGUUAAAACCAAUUUGACAUUUUUUUCAUUCAAAUGCAGGCACACACUCUCUAACUACAGGCUUUUUCAGCUGCCAUUAAGAGAUUAGAUCCUACCUUGCCAAAAAAUGUUUAAUACCAUUUAGACUGCAAAAUUGGGUUAGAGGGAGCUAGCUCUAAACAACUAUUGACAAGUGUUUACGAAAUGGAAAGAGAAUUAUAGUAAAAACAGAGCAAAAGCUAAUGUUUCACUGAAGAAUCCAUAGAAAUUCUCUGCAAAAAACUGGGAUCUUGAUUGCCCUUGGUUAGCUAUGAUCCUAUUCCCAACAUGCUCAGCUCCUUACGUGGGAAAGGAUUUGUUGAAGUAUGCAGUAAUUGUGCACUACGUGCCAAGACUUCUGCGGAUCUACUUUUUAUUCAAAGAAGUAACAAGCACUUCUGGCAUAUUGACUGAGACAGCAUGGGCUGGAGCAGCUUACAAUCUUUUUCUCUACAUGCUAGCAAGUCAUGUGAGUUGAUUUUGUCACUUACGUUCAUAACACUUACCUAUGUUCCUAAUAAUCAUACUAUGUUUUAUGAGCAUCAACUACCAGGUGGUUGGAGCUUCUGGUAUCUGUUUUCAGUAGAAUCAAGGGUGAGGUGCUGGCGCAAGCAGCUGAAGAAUACUACUUUCUUUCAUGAAUCCUACCUUAGCUGUGAAUCUUACAAUUCUACUGUUCAAUCAUUUCUCAAUCACUCUUGCCCUAUCACUGAUCGACAAAACAUUGGAGACCUGGAAGCUUUCAAUUUUGGAAUGUUCAUAGAAGCUCUAAAGUCUCGAGUGGUAGAAUCAACUACUGAUUUUCAUCACAAGUUCUUCUACUGCUUUUGGUGGGGUUUGCGCAGUCUAAGGUAGGUCAAUAAUCUUUUCUACUGAUACUCUUGACUGCAUAUGCAACAUUCCCAUUUUAUAAACUUAGGAACUUAAUUUAAUCUACCUGUGUUCUUAAUUUUGUUCCCAACUUUUCUAUCUAAUUGCCUAUAGUUAGUGCAUGUUUAAUUUGAACCUCGGAUCAUAUCAAACAUAACUCAAGCUUAAAUCCGUGCAUCCAAAUCCAUGCAAGCUGAAAGCAUAGUACAACCUAAAGAUGGAGGCUAAAAGCAUGCAAAAGUCAUAUUUGUUUUGUGAUCUUUUGCAGUUCAGUUGGGCAAGGUCUCGAGACAAGUACUUAUGUAGGGGAGAUAAUCUUUGCUCUCUCCAUUGCUGUCUCUGGAUUGGUUCUAUUUGCAUCACUUAUUGGAAACAUGCAGGUAAUUCUAUGAGAUAAGAUAAUAGACAAGAGAAUAGAGUGAUCUUGUAUACAUUGGUGUAUUUACACCUCCCUAGUCAUGGAUACAGUGUAAUUCAUGAGUCUUUAUUUUUCAUUUUUUGCAAAUUAAAGGCCAAACAGACAAAGGGACAGAUUUUAAACCUUAUAGAGGAAACAAUUUUUUCAUGAAUUUUGAGUGUUAUAGAAGAGUUAGUUUCAUUCUCCCACCCUUGUCAUUUGUUGAAUUCAUGGAUUCGGUACUGUGUUGGUUAUUGUUGCAGAAAUAUCUACAAUCUCCCACUGUCAGAGUUGAAGAGAUGAGAAUCAAAAGGCAGAGAGAUUGUUGCGUGAAGCAGAAAAAAGGAUUCAAAAUUUGGAGAAAGAGGAAGGGUCCUCACCAAGCUUUGUAGCCACUGUAUAUACAUCAAGGUUUGCAUCAACUGCAUUGCGCCACCUGAGAAGUGGUAAACGCACCAGAGUGCCACAGGAAAAACUAGUUUCUUAAGAAAAUUUACAGCAAAACUUGUUGUGAUUUCACUUCUGUGCAUAUUCAACAUGCAUGUCCUUAGCAAUUUUGUCAGCAUAUGUAAGUAGCAAGUGGUGUUAAGGAUUUCUUAUAUGACAACAUUAUGUGCAUAAUCUUAUUCUAAUCAGUUUAUAUAUUCUAGUAUUUUCUUUGAUAAACUACCUUGUGUUUUGUCUCUG
RNAcentral lists this long non-coding RNA (62547 nucleotides) under Phaseolus vulgaris (common bean). Its description in RNAcentral is "long non-coding RNA (PVUL_LNC000875)". Lineage: Eukaryota; Viridiplantae; Streptophyta; Magnoliopsida; Fabales; Fabaceae. The record is from RNAcentral.